RNAcentral lists this long non-coding RNA (49256 nucleotides) under Triticum aestivum (bread wheat). RNAcentral's name for it is "long non-coding RNA (TAES_LNC021327)". The stretch from base 17070 to 17137 matches the Rfam family "tRNA". The record is from RNAcentral. Lineage: Eukaryota; Viridiplantae; Streptophyta; Magnoliopsida; Poales; Poaceae.
AAAAAAACAGCAAUUCUGGGCUGGGCCUCCGGUUAAUAGGUUAGUCCCAAAAAUAAUAUAAAAGUGGAUAAUAAAGCCCAAUAAUGUCCAAAACAGUAGAUAAUAUAGUAUGGAGCAAUCAAAAAUUAUAGAUACAUUGGAGACGUAUCAUAGGGCACCCCAAAAGAGAGAAGUUUUCAUAAGUCUCACAAGUUAGGGUUAGGCAAACAGGUCUAUAGCUCUCGGGAAAGAGCACCCUUGUAAUCAUGAUGAUCAUCAUCAAUAUCAAUGAAGCAGGAUGUAGGCUUUUACCUUCACUGUGAGGGGCUAAACCUGGGUAAAACCUCGCAUCUCUCGGUUCCGACCAACCCCUCUCAAGCAACCACAUAGAUGCGUUGGCCUCAUGACUAAGUCCUCACACUAAGGACAUCUGCGGUGACAAUUCCACGACAGUUGGCACCCACGGUGGGGCCUGCGCAUGGUGGUGUUGAGUUCUUGGAGGGAUCUUUCUUAGGGAUCGAGGGGCUCACAAUUUUUCAAAUGAAGAAAAGCUGGUUUAAAAGGAUUUGCAUCAAUGUCAAGUUCAUCAGUCCAGACUUAAAGAUUUGGGAGAUUUAAGAGAAUUUAGGGUUGCACGCAUGGCCGCAUGCGACGAAGUGAUCCGUAUGGAUUGAUUUCCGCUGUAGAGUUCUACAAAGCCGCUGAGACCGACAGGAAGGUUCCCUGGACACCGUUGCAGAUCCACCAAAGGCGUCUCGUUUUCCGGAUCGAAGGCAAAAUUCGUUGCAGCCAAGCGGCCAGUCAAGGAAACACAACGACGUCUUACCAUCUACGGACAAGUACACAAGACCGGAAUUGUUGCUACUAUUGGUACAUGUCAGAUCAAAAGGAAUCAUCCAUGGUUUACUAUGUGCAGGCCGGAAUUUUUGCUACUAUUGGUACAUGUCAUAUCAAAAGGAAUCAAUCAUGUACUACUUCAACUACUAGUAGUUACUACUAGUAUGGAUUACGUGAAGCUACUGUUUUGGUCUUCAAUUUUUACCGCCGCUCCAAAAGUUACUAGAUGCACGCGCACAAACUGACUAGGAUGGUACUUUGGAUAAUUUUGGAUGAGCAGAGUUCACUAACGUUUCCAUCGAUUGGAUCAAAAAAACACGAUCUAGAAGACAGUACGUGGAAGUCAAGCUAGGAACGACCCGGACAAGGACAUGGACGGGGAUUGGAUUCGGUCUCUGCUGUCGUGGCCACAUUCCGAGCCGCCCCCGCACGGACCUGGCAUCGAGCUGUGCGCUUCUGCCGGCGUGCCUCCGCUAUCAAACCGCAUUUGCCGGUCACUGCUGUGCCCGACUCUCCUCCGGGUCGCCUCCAGCAAGUCACUGUUGCGGGCGCGCCGGCCGGCUCGCGUGCCGUGCUUUGAGCCGCCUCCGUUGAGCCGAUCUCGCCCUAGUUCCACUGCGACACGCCCUGGCCUGGAAGCGGUCUCCGCUGGCUGCUGCUGCGGGUCUUGCGCCUGUGUGCCUGUCUCUUGAGCCGCCAGCCAGCGGGCUCUGAGCUCCUCACUGUGACAUCUCUCACCCUCGAGCCACUCAUGUUUGUGGCCACGGCCAGAUCGUUGCCGAAGUCGUCAUAGUGGCCCUCUGCGCACCCGCCUCGCUGUUGCAGGCUUCGAGCUGGCCCUGCUGAGUUGUCAGCCGCGUGCCCUCAUCUCCACAAUUGCGCACCUAGACCGAGUCGCCGCUCGGGCCUGCUUCGGCGUCCCCUGCGCUGAUUUUGCAGUCCCGCCUACCUCUGUCACAGAGCCGCCUUGCCACCGGAGAGACUCUCCGCGUUGAGCUGCCGCCGGAGAGACGCCAUUUCGCGUUGAACCACUGCCGAAGAGUCGCUGUCCUGCGUCUCUCACUGCCGCGGGUCGCCUCAGCUGUCGCGCGUUGAAUCGUUAGAAGCUGUCGACCGCCUCUGUGCCAUGCCAGCUUCGCCUCGAGCACCACCACACCCAGCUGUCGCGUUGCUACUUCUAAAUCGCCGCCCCCAACUCGCUUCAACUGCAGCGGGACAAGCCGCCGCUCCUUCCGCGGCACUACGGGCCUCCUCAGUCGCGCCUCCGCGUGACCUUCGUCUCAAGUCACCGCAUCUUGUCUUUGAGCCGCCGGGUCUCUCCCGCGUACACGCGACUCCAUGACCUCGCUCAACUCUUUGGUGUGCAAGAUAUCGCCAAGCAAUUGGGUUUACUUUCCUGUAAUAUCUUGGAGUAGGAUGUUGGACGCCUAUGACCGUUAUAGGGAGCGAUGGAUCCAAGUGCCUAAAAGAUGCCACCAGAUAAAUGUUUCAUGUGCUCUGACAAUGAGUCCCUAGCUGUGGGCACAGAGCUGCUUGUGUUUGGGAUAUCAUAAAUUAUGUUCAGAUAUCGCAGUUGUCACUAUAGGUGCCAAUACUUUCGGAAAGAUACUGGGCUCUGCAGAGAUGAAUGAUUCUAUCACGCACACUUGGACGACCUUUCCCAGCAUGAGUGGGGCUAGGAAUAUGUGCUCUGGACCUCUGCUGAUUACAGUGAGAAGGAGGAGAAGAAGUAUGACAAGCUGAAUAAUAAGUGGAUCGCUUUUGGGAAAUUGCCUGAAUAGUCUGUAUCAAUGAAUGGAUGGGACCACGCUUUCCGGCCUGUGCUGACAGGCUGAUUGACAUUGGAGGCCUAAGGAUUUUUAUUGGUAAAAUCAUUGAGCUUAAUUUCUGGGCUCCGGAUGAGCAAGCCGCUAUGGCCGUGCUUGUGAGUCACCUCGGUUUGCACCAGGAGCCAGCGGCCGCCUCCGUCGCUGACCACCGACUCGCGCUGAGAGCCGCCGUAACUGAUCCACUGGCCCUGAUAAUUCUUCAGCAAGCCGCCGUUUUGAGCCGCCUUUACUGCAUCACUACUGCAGCCUGCCUCAGUCAUUUCCGCCUCGAGCGGGCUUUCCAUGCUCUGUACUAUGGGAGUGAGGAGGUCGAAUUAGGAAAAGGUUAUGCGAUGGAAUCUGGGCUGCUCGUACUGGUUGCAGAAAUGUUUAAUACGUGCUCAAGUUAAAUCUGUCGGCACAUCGAUCAUCUAUCGUCAAUGCAUCAGGUGAUGUCCGUCUGGUCUAUUUUUAUAGUACAUGUUAAUUUCUUUAAAGAGCAAUUACUCUUGCUUGUGAUGUUGUACGUAGGACAACUGUUCACCGCAAAGAGCUAUGGCCAAUAACGCUUGACGAAUAUAUGUGCAAAUUGCUAUUUCUGUGGCCCAAUUUUCAUCAACACGACAUGGCGGACUCGCCCGUCCGCGUGGCUUACUGCACAUGCGACUGACUCACCCGUCCGCACCGGCUUACAGACACAACGGCUGACUCAUUUGUCUGAUCCUGUGUUCGACUCGUCCAUGGUUGAUUUCAGUCUCAACAUGAUGAUCAUCAACUCUGCGGUGGAUAAUUACUGGCCUGACAUAUCAGGUGAAAUCCUUCCAGUAUAUUUUUAUAUUAUAUAUUGCUUUCUUUAAAAGAGCAAUUACUCUAGCUUGCAAGUUGUUUAAUGCAGGACAAGUUGUCUACUGCAAAAGGGACUAUUAUAUCACUAAGCUGUUGAAUGACUAAUACUGGUUUAUAUCAUGAUCAAAUAUGGAGAAUCUCAAGAAAACUCCUUGAGUCAUCUUAAGACUCGGGGGCUACAAUGACAUGACUCGGUAGAAUUGGCCGGUUCUAGUGAAUUCAAGAACUCCGGGUCAUUGAAAGGAAAAAAAAUAACCCGGCCCCGGAGGCUACUGUCUUAUUGGCGAAUAUUUAAAGGCCGUCAGAAGAUUUCCGGCUUAAAAAGAAGGAUUCUGGUUCAAAAUCCAGCUCAAGGGAAAUCUGUCUCCCACAAAGCUCUGAAGCUCUCAAAUCCGGUUUAAAAUACGGCUCAAGAAAAAUUAAAGGUUGCCAAAGAUAACUUGCUGCCAUGAUGCGCGGUUCAAACAUGGGUAUCCUGCCUUACGGCUUAUCUUAUUAUGGUCACUUGGGGGCUUCCUAUUCAAACAUAGGUCGUAUUCGAACCAAAGAGAACAUAGCUGUCGGUACCCUCUUAAUCGGCACAAUGCCAAACCCACUAGGGGGCUUCUUGAUCAUAUUCGAAUCAUAGCUUAACCCCUUUUGGGUCCGACUUUGAUUGUAUUCGAAUCAGAGUCGUUAAAAAAACUCUCAAGGUCAUUUGGGGGCUUCCUGUUCAAACAUAGGUCGUAUUCGAACUAAAGAGAACAUAGUUGUCGGUACCCUCUUGAUUGGCGCAACGCCAAAACCACUAGGGGGCUUCCUGAUCGUAUUCGAAUCCUAGCUUAACCCCUUUUGGUCUGGCUUACUGAUCGUAUUCGAAUCAGAAGCCUCGCUUUUUUCUCUUUGUUUGACUUAAGUUUUUUGAAAACAGUCUUUUGGGUUUGUCUUGAGAUUUUUUUCAUAUCUGAAGCAUAUAUGUGGUUUCGAUUAACCCGACUUGACUUUGGAUGAUAAGUCUGAAGGAAAUAUGCCCUAGAGGCAAUAAUAUAGUUAUUAUUUAUUUCCUUAUAUCAUGAUAAAUGUUUAUUAUUCAUGCUAGAAUUGUAUUAACCGGAAACAUAAUACUUGUGUGAAUACGUAGACAAACUAAACGUCACUAGUAUGCCUCUACUUGACUAGCUCAUUAAUCAAAGAUGGUUAUGUUUCCUAACCAUAGACAUGUGUUUUAAUUUGAUUAACGGGAUCACAUCAUUAGGAGAAUGAUGUGAUUGACAUGACCCAUUUCAUUAGCUUAGCACCCGAUCGUUUAGUAUGUUGCUAUUGCUUUCUUCAUGACUUAUACAUGUUCAUGUGACUAUGAGAUUAUGCAACUCCCAUUUGCCGGAGGAACACUUUGUGUGCUACCAAACGUCACAACAUAAUUGGGUGAUUAUAAAGGUGCUCUACAGGUGUCUCCAAAGGUACAUGUUGGGUUGGCGUAUUUCGAGAUUAGGAUUUGUCACUCCGAUUGUCGGAGAGGUAUCUCUGGGCCCUCUCGGUAAUGCACAUCACUUAAGCCUUGCAAGCAAUGCAACUAAUGAGUUAGUUGUGAGAUGAUGUAUUACGGAACAACUAAAGAGACUUGCCGAUAACGAGAUUGAACUAGGUAUUGAGAUACCGACGAUCGAAUCUCGGGCAAGUAACAUACCGAUGACAAAGGGAACAAUGUAUGUUGUUAUGCGGUCUGACCGAUAAAGAUCUUCGUAGAAUAUGUAGGAGCCAAUAUGAGCAUCCAGGUUCCGCUAUUUGUUAUUGACCGGAGACGUGUCUCGGUCAUGUCUACAUUAUUCUCGAACCCGUAGGGUCCACACGCUUAAUAUUACGAUGACAGUUUCAUUAUGAGUUUAUAUAUUUUGAUGUACCAAAGGUUGUUCGGAGUCCCGGAUAUGAUCAUGGACAUGACGAGGAGUCUCGAAAUGGUCGAGACACAAAGAUCGAUAUAUUGGACGGCUAUAUUCGGACACCGGAAGUGUUUCGGGUGAUUUCGGAGAAAACCGGAGUGCCGGAAGGGUUACCCGAACCCCCCGGGGAAGUAUUGGGCCUUAGUGGGCCUGAGGGGAGAGAGAGGGCAGCAGCCCAAGAGGUGGCGCGCCCCCUCCCAUGGGGAGUCCGAAUUGGACUAGGGAAGGGGGGCGCGGCCCCUCUUUCCCUUUCCCUCUCCCUCUCUUUCCUUCCCCUUCUCUCUUCCUAGUUGGACUAGGAAAGGGGAGUCCUACUCCUACUAGGAGGAGGACUCCCCCCUCCUUGGCGCGCCCCAAGGGCCGGCCGGCCUCUCCCCCUUGCUCCUUUAUAUACGGGGGCAGGGGGCACCUCUAGACACACAAGUUGAUCUUCGUGAUUGUUCUCUUAGCCGUGUGCGGUGCCCCCUCCACCAUAAUCCUCGAUAAUAUUGUAGCGGUGCUUAGGAGAAGCCCUGCGACGGUAGAACAUAAAAUCGUCACCAUGCCGUCGUGCUGACGGAACUCUUCCCCGACACUUUGCUGGAUCGGAGUCCGGGGAUCGUCAUCGAGCUGAACGUGUGCUAGAACUCGGAGGUGUCGUAGUUUCGGUGCUUGAUCGGUCGGGCCAUGAAGACGUACGACUACAUCAACCAUGUUGUGCUAACGCUUCCGCUUCCGGUCUACGAGGGUACGUAGACAACACUCUCCCCUCUCGUUGCUAUGCAUCACCAUGAUCUUGCGUGUGCGUAGGAAUUUUUUUUUAUUACUACGUUCCCCAACAGUGGCAUCCGAGCCUAGGUUUUAUGUGUUGAUGUUAUAUGCACGAGUAGAACACAAGUGAGUUGUGGGCGAUAUAAGUCAUACUGCUUACCAGCAUGUCAUACUUUGGUUCGGCGGUGUUGUUGGAUGAAGCGGCCCAGACCGACAUUACGCGUACGCUUACGCGAGACUGGUUCUGUCGACGUGCUUUGCACACAGGUGGCUGGUGGGUGUCAGUUUCUCCAACUUUAGUUGAACUAAGUGUGGCUACGCCCGAUCCUUGUGAAGGUUAAAACAGCACCAACUUGACAAACUAUCGUUGUGGUUUUCAUGCGUAGGUAAGAUUGGUUCUUGCUUAAGCCUGUAGCAGCCACGUAAAACUUGCAACAAACAAAGUAGAGGAUGUCUAACUUGUUUUUGCAGGGAAUGUUGUGAUGUGAUAUGGUCAAGACAUGAUGCUAAAUUUUAUUGUAUGAGAUGAUCAUGUUUUGUAACCGAGUUAUCGGCAACUGGCAGGAGCCAUAUGGUUGUCGCUUUAUUGUAUGCAAUGCAAUCGCCCUGUAAUGCUUUACUUUAUCACUAAGCGGUAGCGAUAGUCGUAGAAGCAUAAUAUUGGCGAGACGACAGCGAUGCUACGAUGGAGAUCAAGGUGUCGCGCCGGUGACGAUGGUGAUCAUGACGAUGCUUCGGAGAUGGAGAUCACAAGCACAAGAUGAUGAUGAUGGCCAUAUCAUAUCACUUAUAUUGAUUGCAUGUGAUGUUUAUCUUUUAUGCAUAUUAUCUUGCUUUGAUUGACGGUAGAAUUAUAAGAUGAUCUCUCACUAAAUUUCAAGAUAAAAGUGUUCUCCCUGAGUAUGCACCAUUGCCAAAGUUCGUCGUGCCCAGACACCACGUGAUGAUCGGGUGUGAUAAGCUCUACAUCCAUCUACAACGGGUGCAAGCCAGUUUUGCACACGCAGAAUACUCAGGUUAAACUUGACGAGCCUAGCAUAUGCAGAUAUGGCCUCGGAACACUGAGACCGAAAGGUCGAGCGUGAAUCAUAUAGUAUAUAUGAUCAACAUAGUGAUGUUCACCAUUGAAAACUACUCCAUUUCACGUGAUGAUCGGUUAUGGUUUAGUUGAUUUGGAUCACUUGAUCACUUAGAAGAUUAGAGGGAUGUUUUUCUAAGUGGGAGUUCUUAAUUAAUAUGAUUAAUUGAACUUAAAUUUAUCAUGAACUUAGUACCUGAUAGUAUCUUGCUUGUUUAUGUUUAAUUGUAGAUAGAUGGCCCGUGUUGUUGUUCCGUUGAAUUUUAAUGCGUUCCUUGAGAAAGCAAAGUUGAAAGAUGAUGGUAGCAAUUACACAGACUGGGUCCGUAACUUGAGGAUUAUCCUCAUUGCUGCACAGAAGAAUUACGUCAUGUAAGCACCGCUGGGUGCCAGGCCUGCUGCUGAUGCAACUGACGACGUUAAGAACGUCUGGCAGAGCAAAGCUGAUGACUACUUGAUAGUUCAAUGUUCCAUGCUUUACGGCUUAGAACCGGGACUUCAACGAUGUUUUGAACAUCAUGGAGCAUAUGAGAUGUUCCAGGAGUUGAAGUUAAUAUUUCAAGCAAAUGCCCGGAUUGAGAGAUAUGAAGUCUCCAAUAAGCUCUAUAGCUGCAAGAUGGAGGAGAACAGUUCUGUCAGUGAGCAUAUACUCAAAAUGUCUGGGUAUAAUAAUCACUUGAUUCAACUGGGAGUUAAUCUUUCGGAUGAUUGCGUCAUUGACAGAAUUCUCCAAUCACUUCCACCUAGCUACAAGAGUUUUGUGAUGAACUAUAAUAUGCAAGGGAUGGAUAAAACAAUUCCCGAGCUCUUCGCAAUGUUAAAAGCUGCGGAGGUAGAAAUCAAAAAGGAGCAUCAAGUGUUGAUGGUCAACAAGACCACUAGUUUCAAGAAAAAGGGCAAGGGGAAGAAGAAGGGGAACUUCAAGAAGAACAGCAAGCAAGUUGCUGCUCAGGAGAAGAAACCCAAGUCUGGACCUAAGCCUGAAACUGAGUGCUUCUACUACAAGCAGACUGGUCACUGGAAGCGGAACUUCCCCAAGUAUUUGGCGGAUAAGAAGGAUGGCAAGGUGAACAAAGGUAUAUGUGAUAUACAUGUUAUUGAUGUGUACCUUACUAGAGCUCGCAGUAGCACCUGGGUAUUUGAUACUGGUUCUGUUGCUAAUAUUUGCAACUCGAAACAGGGACUACGGAUUAAGCGAACACUGGCGAAGGACGAGGUGAUGAUGCGCGUGGGAAAUGGUUCCAAAGUCGAUGUGAUCGCAGUCGGCACACUACCUCUACAUCUACCAUCAGGAUUAGUAUUAGACCUAAAUAAUUGUUAUUUGGUGCCAGCGUUAAGCAUGAACAUUAUAUCUGGAUCUUGUUUGAUGCGAGACGGUUAUUCAUUUAAAUCAGAGAAUAAUGGUUGUUCUAUUUAUAUGAGUAAUAUCUUUUAUGGUCAUGCACCCUUGAAGAGUGGUCUAUUUUUGAUGAAUCUCAAUAGUAGUGAUACACAUAUUCAUAAUGUUGAUGCCAAAAGAUGCAGAGUUGAUAAUGAUAGUGUGACUUAUUUGUGGCACUGCCGUUUAGGUCAUAUCGGUGUAAAGCGCAUGAAGAAACUCCAUACUGAUAGACUUUUGGAACCACUUGAUUAUGAAUCACUUGGUACUUGCGAACCAUGCCUUAUGGGUAAGAUGACUAAAACGCCAUUCUCCGGUACUAUGGAGAGAGCAACAGAUUUGUUGGAAAUCAUACAUACAGAUGUAUGUGGUCCAAUGAAUGUUGAAGCUCAUGGCGGAUAUCGUUAUUUUCUCACCUUCACAGAUGAUUUAAGCAAAUAUGGGUAUAUCUACUUAAUGAAACAUAAGUCUGAAACAUUUGAAAAGUUCAAAGAAUUUCAGAGUGAAGUUGAAAAUCAUCGUAACAAGAAAAUAAAGUUUCUACGAUCUGAUCGUGGAGGAGAAUAUUUGAGUUACGAGUUUGGUCUAUGUUUGAAAAAAUGCAGAAUAGUUUCGCAACUCACGCCACCCGAAACACCACAGCGUAAUGGUGUGACCGAACGUCGUAAUCGUACUUUACUUUAUAUGGUACGAUCUAUGAUGUCUCUUACAUAUUUACCGCUAUCGUUUUGGGGUUAUGCUUUAGAGACGGCCGCAUUCACGUUAAAUAGGGCACCAUCAAAAUCCGUUGAGACGACGCCUUAUGAACUGUGGUUUGGCAAGAAACCAAAGUUGUCGUUUCUAAAAGUUUGGGGCUGUGAUGCUUAUGUGAAAAAACUUCAACCUGAUAAGCUCGAACCCAAAUCAGAGAAAUGUGUCUUCAUAGGAUACCCAAAGGAGACAGUUGGGUACACCUUCUAUCACAGAUCCGAAGGCAAGACAUUUGUUGCUAAGAAUGGAUCCUUUCUAGAGAAAGAGUUUCUCUCGAAAGAAGUGAGUGGGAGGAAAGUAGAACUUGAUGAGGUAACUGUACCUGCUCCCUUAUUGGAAAGUAGUACAUCACAGAAACCGGUUUCUGUGACACCUGCACUAAUUAGUGAGGAAGUUAAUGAUGAUGAUCAUGAAACUUCAGAACAAGUUACUACUGAACCUCAUAGAUCAACCAGAGUAAGAUCCACACCAGAGUGGUACGGUAAUCCUGUUCUGGAAGUCAUGCUACUAGAUCAUGAUGAACCUGCGAACUAUGAAGAAGUGAUGGUGAGCCCAGAUUCCGCAAAAUGGCUUGAAGCCAUGAAAUCUGAGAUGGGAUCCAUGUAUGAGAACAAAGUGUGGACUUUGGUUGACUUGCCCAAUGAUAGGCAAGCAAUUGAGAAUAAAUGGAUCUUCAAGAAGAAGACUGACGCUGACGGUAAUGUUACUGUCUACAAAGCUCGACUUGUCGCAAAAGGUUUUCGAGAAGUUCAAGGGAUUGACUGCGAUGAGACCUUCUCACCCGUAGCGAUGCUUAAGUCUGUCCAAAUCAUGUUAGCAAUUGCCGCAUUUUAUGAUUAUGAAAUUUGGCAGAUGGAUGUCAAAACUGCAUUCCUGAAUGGAUUUCUGGAAGAAGAGUUGUAUAUGAUGCAGACGGAAGGUUUUGUCGAUCCAAAGGGAACCAACAAAGUGUGCAAGCUCCAGCGAUCCAUUUAUGGACUGGUGCAAGCCUCUCGGAGUUGGAAUAAACGCUUUGAUAGUGUGAUCAAAGCAUUUGGUUUUGUACAGACUUUUGGAGAAGCCUGUAUUUACAAGAAAGUGAGUGGGAGCUCUAUAGCAUUUCUGAUAUUAUAUGUGGAUGACAUAUUACUAAUCGGAAAUGAUAUAGAAUUUCUGGAUAGCAUAAAGGGAUACUUGAAUAAGAGUUUUUCAAUGAAAGACCUCGGUUAAGCUGCUUACAUAUUGGGCAUUAAGAUCUAUAGAGAUAGAUCAAGACGCUUAAUUGGACUUUCACAAAGCACAUACCUUGACAAAGUUUUGAAGAAGUUCAAAAUGGAUCAAGCAAAGAAAGGAUUCUUGCCUGUGUUACAAGGUGUGAAGUUGAGUAAGACUCAAUGCCCGACCACUGCAGAAGAUAGAGAGAAAAUGAAAGAUGUUCCCUAUGCUUCAGCCAUAGGCUCUAUCAUGUAUACAAUGCUGUGUACCAGACCUGAUGUGUGUCUUGCUAUAAGUCUAGCAGGGAGGUACCAAAGUAAUCCAGGAGUGGAUCACUGGACAGCGGUCAAGAACAUCCUGAAAAACCUGAAAAGUACUAAGGAUAUGUUUCUCGUAUAUGGAGGUGACAAAGAGCUCAUCGUAAAUGGUUACGUUGAUGCAAGCUUUGACACUGAUCCGGACGAUUCUAAAUCGCAAACCGGAUACGUAUUUACAUUAAAUGGUGGAGCUGUCAGUUGGUGCAGUUCUAAACAAAGCGUCGUGGCGGGAUCUACAUGUGAAGCGGAGUACAUAGCUGCUUCGGAAGCAGCAAACGAAGGAGUCUGGAUGAAAGAGUUCAUAUCUGAUCUAGGUGUCAUACCUAGUGCAUCGGGUCCAAUGAAAAUCUUUUGUGACAAUACGGGUGCAAUUGCCUUGGCAAAGGAAUCCAGAUUUCACAAGAGAACCAAGCACAUCAAGAGAUGCUUCAAUUCCAUCCGGGAUCUAGUCCAGGUGGGAGACAUAGAGAUUUGCAAGAUACAUACGGAUCUGAAAGUAGCAGACCCGUUGACUAAGCCUCUUCCACGAGCAAAACAUGAUCAGCACCAAGGCUCCAUGGGUGUUAGAAUCAUUACUGUGUAAUCUAGAUUAUUGACUCUAGUGCAAGUGGGAGACUGAAGGAAAUAUGCCCUAGAGGCAAUAAUAUAGUUAUUAUUUAUUUCCUUAUAUCAUGAUAAAUGUUUAUUAUUCAUGCUAGAAUUGUAUUAACCGGAAACAUAAUACUUGUGUGAAUACAUAGACAAACUAAACGUCACUAGUAUGCCUCUACUUGACUAGCUCAUUAAUCAAAGAUGGUUAUGUUUCCUAACCAUAGACAUGUGUUUUCAUUUGAUUAACGGGAUCACAUCAUUAGGAGAAUGAUGUGAUUGACAUGACCCAUUCCAUUAGCUUAGCACCCGAUCAUUUAGUAUGUUGCUAUUGCUUUCUUCAUGACUUAUACAUGUUCAUGUGACUAUGAGAUUAUGCAACUCCCAUUUGCCGGAGGAACACUUUGUGUGCUACCAAACGUCACAACAUAACUGGGUGAUUAUAAAGGUGCUCUACAGGUGUCUCCAAAGGUACAUGUUGGGUUGGCGUAUUUCGAGAUUAGGAUUUGUCACUCCGAUUGUCGGAGAGGUAUCUCUAGGCCCUCUCGGUAAUGCACAUCACUUAAGCCUUGCAAGCAAUGCAACAAAUGAGUUAGUUGUGAGAUGAUGUAUUACGGAACAACUAAAGAGACUUGCCGAUAACGAGAUUGAACUAGGUAUUGAGAUACUGACGAUCGAAUCUCGGGCAAGUAACAUACCGAUGACAAAGGGAACAAUGUAUGUUGUUAUGCGGUCUGACCGAUAAAGAUCUUCGUAGAAUAUGUAGGAGCCAAUAUGAGCAUCCAGGUUCCGCUAUUGGUUAUUGACCGGAGACGUGUCUCGGUCAUGUCUACAUUAUUCUCGAACCCAUAGGGUCCACACGCUUAAUAUUACGAUGACAGUUUCAUUAUGAGUUUAUAUAUUUUGAUGUACCAAAGGUUGUUCGGAGUCCCGGAUAUGAUCAUGGACAUGACGAGGAGUCUCGAAAUGGUCGAGACACAAAGAUCGAUAUAUUGGACGGCUAUAUUCGGACACCGGAAGUGUUUCGGGUGAUUUCGGAGAAAACCGGAGUGCCGGAAGGGUUACCGGAACCCCUCGGGGAAGUAUUGGGCCUUAGUGGGCCUGAGGGGAGAGAGAGGGUAGCAGCCCAAGAGGUGGCGCGCCCCCUCCCAUGGGGAGUCCGAAUUGGACUAGGGAAGGGGGGCGCGGCCCCUCUUUCCCUUUCCCUCUCCCUCUCUUUCCUUCCCCUUCUCUCUUCCUAGUUGGACUAGGAAAGGGGAGUCCUACUCCUACUAGGAGGAGGACUCCCCCCUCCUUGGCGCGCCCCAAGGGCCGGCCGGCCUCUCCCCCUUGCUCCUUUAUAUACGGGGGCAGGGGGCACCUCUAGACACACAAGUUGAUCUUCGUGAUCGUUCUCUUAGCCGUGUGCGGUGCCCCCCUCCACCAUAAUCCUCGAUAAUAUUGUAGCGGUGCUUAGGAGAAGCCCUGCGACGGUAGAACAUCAAGAUCGUCACCACGCCGUCGUGCUGACGGAACUCUUCCCCGACACUUUGCUGGAUCGGAGUCCGGGGAUCGUCAUCGAGCUGAACGUGUGCUAGAACUCGGAGGUGUCUUAGUUUCGGUGCUUGAUCGGUCGGGCCAUGAAGACGUACGACUACAUCAACCAUGUUGUGAUAACGCUUCCGCUUCCGGUCUACGAGGGUACGUAGACAACACUCUCCCCUCUCGUUGCUAUGCAUCACCAUGAUCUUGCGUGUGCGUAGGAAUUUUUUUUAUUACUACGUUCCCCAACAGUGGCAUCCGAGCCUAGGUUUUAUGUGUUGAUGUUAUAUGCACGAGUAGAACACAAGUGAGUUGUGGGCGAUAUAAGUCAUACUGCUUACCAGCAUGUCAUACUUUGGUUCGGUGGUAUUUUUGGAUGAAGCGGGCCGGACCAACAUUACGCGUACGCUUACGCGAGACUGGUUCUACUGACGUGCUUUGCACACAGGUGGCUGGCGGGUGUCAGUUUCUCCAACUUUAGUUGAACUGAGUGUGGCUAUGCCCGGUCCUUGUGAAGGUUAAAACAGCACCAACUUGACAAACUAUCAUUGUGGUUUUGAUGCGUAGGUAAGAUUGGUUCUUGCUUAAGCCUGUAGCAGCCACGUAAAACUUGCAACAAACAAAGUAGAGGACGUCUAACUUGUUUUUGCAGGGCAUGUUGUGAUGUGAUAUGGUCAAGACAUGAUGCUAAAUUUUAUUGUAUGAGAUGAUCAUGUUUUGUAACCGAGUUAUCGGCAACUGGCAGGAGCCAUAUGGUUGUCGCUUUAUUGUAUGCAAUGCAAUCGCCCUGUAAUGCUUUACUUUAUCACUAAGCGGUAGCGAUAGUCAUAGAAGCAUAAUAUUGGCGAGACGACAACGAUGCUACGAUGGAUAUCAAGGUGUCGCGCCGGUGACGAUGGUGAUCAUGACGAUGCUUCGGAGAUGGAGAUCACAAGCACAAGAUGAUGAUGAUGGCCACAUCAUAUCACUUAUAUUGAUUGCAUGUGAUGUUUAUCUUUUAUGCAUCUUAUCUUGCUUUGAUUGACGGUAGCAUUAUAAGAUGAUCUCUCACUAAAUUUCAAGAUAAAAGUGUUCUCCCUAAGUAUGCACCAUUGCCAAAGUUCGUCGUGCCCAGACACCACGUGGUGAUCGGGUGUGAUAAGCUCUACAUCCAUCUACAACGGGUGCAAGCCAGUUUUGCACACGUAGAAUACUCAGGUUAAACUUGACGAGCCUAGCAUAUGCAGAUAUGGCCUCAGAACACUGAGACCGAAAGGUCGAGCGUGAAUCAUAUAGUAGAUAUGAUCAACAUAGUGAUGUUCACCAUUGAAAACUACUCCAUUUCACGUGAUGAUUGGUUAUGGUUUAGUUGAUUUGGAUCACUUGAUCACUUAGAAGAUUGGAGGGAUGUUUUUCUAAGUGGGAGUUCUUAAUUAAUAUGAUUAAUUGAACUUAAAUUUAUCAUGAACUUAGUACCUGAUAGUAUCUUGCUUGUUUAUGUUUAAUUGUAGAUAGAUGGCCCGUGUUGUUGUUCCGUUGAAUUUUAAUGCGUUCCUUGAGAAAGCAAAGUUGAAAGAUGAUGGUAGCAAUUACACGGACUGGGUCCGUAACUUGAGGAUUAUCCUCAUUGCUGCACAGAAGAAUUACGUCAUGUAAGCACCGCUGGGUGCCAGGCCUGCUGCUGAUGCAACUGACGACGUUAAGAACGUCUGGCAGAGCAAAGCUGAUGACUACUCGAUAGUUCAAUGUUCCAUGCUUUACAGCUUAGAACCGGGACUUCAACGACGUUUUGAACAUCAUGGAGCAUAUGAGAUGUUCCAGGAGUUGAAGUUAAUAUUUCAAGCAAAUGCCCGGAUUGAGAGAUAUGAAGUCUCCAAUAAGUUCUAUAGCUGCAAGAUGGAGGAGAACAGUUCUGUCAGUGAGCAUAUACUCAAAAUGUCUGGGUAUAAUAAUCACUUGAUUCAACUUGGAGUUAAUCUUCCGGAUGAUUGCGUCAUUGACAGAAUUCUCCAAUCACUUCCACCUAGCUACAAGAGUUUUGUGAUGAACUAUAAUAUGCAAGGGAUGGAUAAAACAAUUCCCGAGCUCUUCGCAAUGCUAAAAGCUGCGGGGGUACAAAUCAAAAAGGAGCAUCAAGUGUUGAUGGUCAACAAGACCACUAGUUUCAAGAAAAAGGGCAAGGGGAAGAAGAAGGGGAACUUCAAGAAGAACAACAAGCAAGUUCCUGCUCAGGAGAAGAAACCCAAGUCUGGACCUAAGCCUGAAACUGAGUGCUUCUACUGCAAGCAGACAUAACUGGGUGAUUAUAAAGGUGCUCUACAGGUGUCUCCAAAGGUACAUGUUGGGUUGGCGUAUUUUGAGAUUAGGAUUUGUCACUCCGAUUGUCAGAGAGGUAUCUCUGGGCCCUCUCGGUAAUGCACAUCACUUAAGCCUUGCACGCAAUGCAACUAAUGCGUUAGUUGCGAGAUGAUGUAUUACGGAACGAGUAAAGAGACUUGCCGAUAACGAGAUUAAACUAGGUAUUGAGAUACCGACGAUCGAAUCUCGGGAAGUAACAUACUGAUGACAAAGGGAACAACGUAUGUUGUUAUGCGGUCUGACCGAUAAAGAUCUUCGUAGAAUAUGUAGGAGCCAAUAUGAGCAUCCAGGUUCCGCUAUUGGUUAUUGACCGGAGACGUCUCUCGGUCAUGUCUACAUUGUUCUCGAACCCGUAGGGUCCGCACGCUUAAUGUUACGAUGACAGUUUCAUUAUGAGUUUAUAUAUUUUGAUGUACCAAAGGUUGUUCGGAGUCCCGGAUAUGAUCACGGACAUGACAAGGAGUCUCGAAAUGGUCGAGACACAAAGAUCGAUAUAUUGGACGGCUAUAUUCGGACACCGGAAGUGUUUCGGGUGAUUUCGGGGAAAACCGGAGUGCCGGAAGGGUUACCGAAGCCCCCCGGGGAAGUAUUGGGCCAUAGUGGGCCUGAGGGGAGAGAGAGGGCAGCAGCCCAGGAGGUGGCGCGGCCCCUCUUUCCCUCUCCCUCUCCCUCUCUUUCCUUCCCCUUCUCUCUUCCUAGUUGGACUAGGAAUGGGGAGUCCUACUCCUACUAGGAGGAGGACUCCCCCCUCCUUGGCGCGCCCCAAGGGCCGGCCGGCCUCUCCUCCUUGCUCCUUUAUAUACGGGGGCAGGGGGCACCUCUAGACACACAAGUUGAUCUUCGUGAUCGUUCUCUUAGCCGUGUGCGGUGCCCCCCUCCACCAUAAUCCUCGAAAAUAUUGUAGCGGUGCUUAGGCGAAGCCCUGCGACAGUAGACCAUCAAGAUCGUCACCACGCCGUCGUGCUGACGGAACUAUUCCCCGACACUUUGCUGGAUCGGAUUCCGGGGAUCGUCAUCGAGCUGAAUGUGUGCUAGAACUCGGAGGUGCCGUAGUUUCGGUGCUUGAUCGGUCGGGCCGUGAAGACGUAUGACUACAUCAACCGCGUUGUGCUAACGCUUCCGCUUCCGGUCUAUGAGGGUACGUAGACAACACUCUCCCCUCUCGUUGCUAUGCAUCACCAUGAUCUUGCGUGUGCGUAGGAAUUUUUUUUAUUACUACGUUCCCCAACAAAGUCGUCAUCAUAUGACAAUCAUAAACAUUUGGAAGUUUUGGCUUCUAAAGACUGGGUUAUCACCCUUACUGCACAGGUAUCCUAAACCGGUAGUAUGAUUCAAUAUCACAGGAACCAGUUUUCCAAACCGGAUUAUAUUAUUCAAAUCUUUAAUAGCCAACAUGGCUGGAUUUUUAUUAUGGUUAUCAAUAGCCAAUAUUAUGAUGGAGGUCUUCAAAGUCGCUUCAGCGCAAUGGUUAUUAUUUUAUUAAUGAACAUGAUUUAUUUUAAAUGGUGAGAAUAGUACCGAGUCGCUGCAGGCUUAGGACCCGGCACUUGGGGGCUACAUUAUUCAAAUUGUGAUUAAAUCAAAUAUGCAAGUCCCGUGUCACUGCCAGCAUGUACCAUGGCACUUGGGGGCUAAUGUAAAGUCAUUUUUUGAUCAACUUAUUGAAGACCCAACUCAUCCCAUUGUAAUGAGCCGGCCCUUGGGGGCUACCAAUUGCUCCUGUCAAAAAUUCAAGGUACACAAGCCUCAGUCCAUUAUAUUGAAAGAUCCACUACUCAGUUGGUAGAGUACAAAGCUCUUAACCUUAUGGACGUGGGUUCAACCCCAUGGUGGAGAUUACAUCAUAUGAUGUUAUUAUCAAUGAAUUAUAUACAAAGUCCCAGCUCAGUAUUAUCUUACUGAGCCGGCCCUUGGGGGCUACACGUUGCUGCUCAAAUCUACAUGAUCAUCUUUACAAAGUCCCUGCUCAUUAUUGCAUAAUGACCCGGCCCUUGGGGGCUACAAGUGAUAUGAAUAUAUUGAGAUCUACGUCUUCAAGCCGGCUGAAAAUCAGAUGGGUAUUUCAAGGCCAAUAUUUUUCACAAUAUUUCUGUGAGAAACCAAUGUCAGCAAAUUGAUUAUGAAGCUGGUAUAUUGACCCAGACUUUUCAGGAGAAAAUAACAAGGACUUAAGGGUGAUCAGGUACCGGUUUACAAGAAUUUUUAACCCGGAGCACAACCUAUCAAAUUUAUUCUUGUGUUUAUUUUGCAAGAUUAAGUUUAACAUGGAUAAAUCCAAAUUAAACUAGGGGCUAAUGUCGGGGACAUACUCCGCAGUAUGACCCGGCCGGACUUGGCCGCUCACUGGUGACCCGCCGUGACUUGGAGAUUCACUAAGUGACCCACCCGGAUCUCUCCACUCACUGAUGACCCGGCCGAGCCAGGUGACUCAUUGGUGAACCGGCAGGCGGGUCAAAGGGCGACAAGACCCGGUGGCCCAACAGGCGGUUCAUGGAAGGCCGACUCGUAUUAUGGUGGGUCGGCUUAAGAUGAAAGGCAUAAGGAAUAUUCUCCUACAAAGGAAGCAAGACUAGGACUCCAGUUGUAAUCCUAAUCCUAAUAGGACUAGUCAUGUAAGCCGCCCCUUCAACAUAUAUAAGGAGGGGCAGGGCACCCCAAAAGAGAGAAGUUUUGAUAAGUCUCACAAGUUAGGGUUGGACAAAUAGGUCUAUAGCUCUCGGGAUAGAGCACCCUUGUAAUCGUGAUCAUCAUCAUAAAUAUCAAUGAAGCAGGAUGUAGGCUUUUACCUCCACGGUGAGGGGCCGAACCUGGGUAAAACCUCGCGUCUCUCGGUUCCGACCAACCCCUCUCAAGCAACCACAUAGAUGCAUUGGCCUCACGACUAAGUCCUCACACUAAGGACAUCUGCGGUGACAAUUCCACGACACAUAAGUUCCAAAGGGACAAGUAAAAGUGGUCUUUUCUUGAUCUGGUUGAGAAAUAGGUAUUUGUGAAAAAAUAGAGUAUCCAUCAAGGAAGCAAAAAUGUGUGUGCUUAGAUAAUCUUUCAAUCAUUUGAUCAAUAAAAGGCAGAGGGCAAUGAUCUUUUCUAGUUGCUUUAUUUAAUUUUCUAAAAUCAAUUACCAUUCUAUAUCCUGUAACAAUUCUUUGUGAAAUAAGUUCAUUCUUAUCAUUAGGAACAACAGUUAUACCUCCUUUCUUAGGGACACAAUGAACAUGACUUACCCAUCUACUAUCAGCUAUAGGAUAGAUUAUACCUACUUCCGGAAGUUUUAAUAUUUCCGCUCUUACCACUUCUUUCAUCUUUGGAUUUAACCGACGUUGGUGAUCAACAACGGGUUUAGCAUCAGGUUCCAUAUUAAUUUUGUGCUAACAUAGAGUGGGACUAAUGCCCUUUAAAUCAUCAAGAGUAUGUCCAAUAACAGCUCGGUGCUUCCUUAGAACUUUCAAUAAUCUUUCUUCUUCAUGUUCUGAAAGGUUAGCACUAAUAAUAACAGGAUAUAUUUUCUUUUCAUCAAGAUAAGCAUAUUUCAAAGUGUCUGGUAAUUGUCUUAAUUCAAACAUAGGAUCACCUUUAGGUGGAGGAGGACCUCCUAGAGUUUCAAUAGGAAAAUUGUGUUUAAGCAGAGGACGUUGUCAAAGAAAAUCUUAUCUAUUGCAUUUCUUUCAUGCAUAUGUAAAUCAUUUUCAUGGUCUAACAAAUAUUGUUCUAGUGGAUCAGUAGGAGGCACAUCAAUAGAAGCAGGACCAAUUAAUUCAUCUUUACUAGGCAAUUCUUUUUCAUGAAGCUUUCUACUAAACUUGGAAAAAAUAAACUCAUGAGACUCAUCACCAAAACUAACACCGACAGUUUGUUUCUCACAAUCUAUUUUUGUUGGGGAACGCAGUAUUUAAAAAAAAAAUCCUACAAUCACGCAAGAUCUAUCUAGGGAUGCAUAGAAACGAGAGGGGAGAGUGUGUCCACGUACCCUCGUAGACCGAAAGCGUAAUCGUUAAGUAACGCGGUUGAUGUAGUCGAACGUCUUCGCGAUCCAACCGAUCAAGUACCGAACGCACAACACCUUCGGGAUCUGCACACAUUCAGCUCGAUGAUGUCCCUCGAACUCUAGAUCCAGCUGAGGCCGAGGGAGAGUUUCAUUAGCACGACGGCGUGUUGACAGCGAUGAUGAAGUUACCGACGCAGGGCUUCGCCUAAGCACUACGACAAUAUGAUCGAGGUGGAAAUUUGUGGAGGGGGGCACUGCACACGGUUAAGAUCAACUUGUGUGUCUAUGGGGUGCCCCCCUCCCCCGUAUAUAAAGGAGUGGAGGAGGGGGAGGGCCGGCCUCCUAGGGCGCUUCCCAAGGGGGGAUUCCUACUCCUACUAGGAGUAUGUUUCCCCCCUUUCCUAGUCCAACUAGGAGGGGGAGGAAGGGAAGAGGGAGAAGGAAAGACCCCACCCCUCAAAAACCCUACCCCAAUUCGGAUUGGGCCUAGGGGGCGUGCACCACACAUGGCCGCCUCCUCCUCUCUUCCACUAUGGCCCAUCAAGGCCCAUUAACUCCCCGGGGGGUUCCGAUAACCCCCCGAUACUCCGGUAAAUGCCCGAACUAAUCCAAAAUCUUUCCGGUGUCCAAACAUAACCUUUCAAUAUAUCAAUCUUCCUGUCUCAACCAUUUCAAGACUCCUCAUCAUGUCCGUGAUCACAUCCGGGACUCCUAACUACCUUCGGUUCAUCAAAACACAUAAACUCAUAAUACUGAUCAUCAUCGAACGUUAAGCGUGCGGCCUACGGGUUCGAGAACUAUGUAGACAUGACCGAGAUUCAUCUCCAGUCAAUAACCAAUAGCGGAACCUGGAUGCUCAUAUUGGUUCCUACAUAUUCUACGAAGAUCUUUAUCGGUCAAACCGCAUAACUACAUAUGUUGUUCCUUUUGUCAUCGGUAUGUUACUUGCCCGAGAUUCGAUUGUCGGUAUCAUCAUACCUAGUUCAAUGCCGUUACCGGCAAGUCUCUUUACUCGUUAUGUAAUGCAUCAUCCCGCAACUAACUCAUUAGUCACAUUGCUUGCAAGGCUUAUAGUGAUGUACAUUACCGAGAGGGCCCAGAGAUACCUCUCCGACAAUCGGAGUGACAUAUCCUAAUCUCGAUCUAUGCCAACUCAACAAACACCAUCGAAGACACCUAUAGAUCAUCUUUAUAAUCACCAAGUUAUGUUGUGACGUUUGAUAGCACACUAAGUGUUCCUACGGUAUUCAGGAGUUGCAUAAUCUCAUAGUCAUAGGAACAUGUAUAAGUUUUGAAGAAAGCAAUAGCAAUAAACUAAAUGAUCAUAGUGCUAAGCUAACAGAUGGGUCAAGUCAAUCACAUCAUUCUCUAAUGAUGUGAUCCCGUUCAUCAAAUGACAACUCAUGUCUAUGGCUAGGAAACUUAACCACCUUUGAUUAACGAGCUAGUCAAGUAGAGGCAUACUAGUGACACUCUGUUUGUCUAUGUAUUCACACAUGUACUAAGUUUCUGGUUAAUACAAUUCUAGCAUGAAUAAUAAACAUUUAUCAUGAUAUAAGGAAAUAUAAAUAAUGAUUUUAUUAUUGCCUCUAGGUUAUAUUUCCUUCAAUUUUAGCAUUAACGGUGUUCAAGAAAGGUCUACUAAAGAUAAUGGGACAAAAGUCAUCUUGUGGGGAACCAAGAACAAGAAAAUCAGUAGGGUAUUUUAUUUUCCCACACAGGACUUCAACAUCUCUAACAAUCCCAAUUGGUGAUAUAGUGUCUCUAUUAGCAAGUUUAAUAGUAACAUUAUGGCUUCUAUCUCUGCGGGUGCUAUGGCAUUCAUAAUUUCUUGAUAUAUGGUGUAAGGAAUAGAACUCACACUAGCACCUAUGUCACAUAAACCAUGAUAACAAUGAUCUCCUAUUUCAACUGAGACAACGGGCAUGCCAACAACAGGUCUAUGUUUAUCUUUUUUAUCCGGUUUGGCAAUUCUAGCAGCUUCUUCACAGAAGUAAAUAACAUGCCCAUCCAUAUCUUCUUCCAAGAGAUCUUUAACCAUAACAAUACUAGAUUCCACUUUAAUUUGUUCAUCAGGUUUAGGUGUUCUAAUAUAGCUUUUGUUAACCACAGUUGAAACUUUAGCAUGUUCCUUUAUCCUAACAGGGAAAGGUGGUUUCUCAAUAUAAGCAGUAGGAACAACUGGAUCAACAUUAUAAAGUAUAGUUUCUUCUUUAGCUAGUACUGGUUCUUUGGUUUCUUCUUUAAUAGGUGGGUGAUAUUUAAACCACUUCUCUUUAGGGAGAUCAACAUGAGUAGCAAAUGAUUCACGAAAGGAAGCUACUAUCUUAGAGUCAAGUCCAUAUUUAGUGCUAAACUUUUGGAAAGCAUCGGUAUCCAUAAAAGAUUUAACACAAUCAUACUUAAGUUUAAUACAUGACUCUUUACCUUCGUCGAGUAACCAAUCUUCAGAGUUGCGUUUAAUUCUUUCCAAAGAUCCCACCAGAAUUCAAUAGUCUUCUUCAUAAAAGAACCAAUACAAGAAGUAUCGAGCAUGGUUUGAUCAUUACGAGAAAGUCGAGCAUAAAAAUUCUAGAUAAUAAUUUCUCUCGAGAGCUCAUGAUUGGGACAUGAAUAUAACAUUGACUUAAGCCUCCCCCAAGCUAGAGCGAUACUUUAUCCUUCACGAGGCCAUAUAUAUAUAUAUAUAUAUAUAUAUAUAUAUAUAUAUAUAUAUAUAUAUAUAGUUCCGAUCACGAUGAACUAGAUGCAUAGGAUAAUUUUUUUAUGGAACUUCAAUUUCAAUUUAUUCCAAUUCCAAGAUUCAAUAUCAUCGCAUAGCCGAUACCAUGACAAUGCUUUUCCCUUCAAAGAUAAAGGGAAACCCUUUUUCAUAACUUCAUGUCCGGGUAAACCUGCAAACUUAAACAAUCCACAAAUUUGUUCUACAUAUAUCAAAUGCAUAUCAGGAUGUUCGGUUCCAUCUCCUCCACAAGGAUUAGCUAGCAGUUGUUCUAUCAUACCCGAAGGAAUUUCAUAUUCAAUAUUUUCAGUAGGUGCAGUCGGUUGAGGGGUAGCUAAUUGUGGUUCCGGUUGAGGUGAAGAUACCCCGAACAAACCCUCAAAGGAUUGUUUUCCAUAGUAACAAGUGACAAUAAAUUUCAGCACACUAUAUAAAUGUUUCCUUACCAAAGGCGCCAGAAAAUAGCCUUGAUGACCCACAAGUAUAGGGGAUCAAUUCUAGAUCUUUUCGAUAAGUAAGAGUGUCAAACCCAAUGAGGAGCAGAAGGAAAUGACAAGUAGUUUUCAGUAAGAUAGUAUCUGCAAAUGCUGAAAUUGUAAGUAACUUAGUAGUUUGAUAGCAAGAUAAUUUGCAACGGGCAAGUAACGAUAGUAGUAACAAAAGUGCGGCAAGGUAGUGUUGGGGAACGUAGUAAUUUCAAAAAAAUUCCUACGCACAUGCAAGAUCAUGGUGAUGCAUAGCAACGAGAGGGGAGAGUGUUGUCUACGUACCCUUGUAGACCGGAAGCGGAAGCGUUAGCACAACGCGGAUGAUGUAGUUGUACAUCUUCACGAUCCGACCGAUCAAGUACCGAACGUACGGUACCUCCGAGUUCAGCACACGUUCAGCCCGAUGACGUCCCUCGAACUCCGAUCCAGCCGAGUGUUGAGGGAGAGUUUUGUCAGCACGACGGCGUGGUGACGAUGUUGAUGUUCUACCGACGCAGGGCUUCGCCUAAGCACCGCUACAGUAUUAUCGAGGUGGACUAUGGUGGAGGGGGGCACCGCACACAGCUAAGAGAUCAAUGAUCAAUUGUCGUCUCUAGGGUGCCCCCUGCCCCCGUAUAUAAAGGAGCAAGGGGGAGGCGGGCCGGCCCUCUAUGGCGCGCCCCCAAGAGGGGAAUCCUACUAGGACUCCAAGUCCUAGUAGGUUUCCACCAAAAGGGAGAGAGGGGGAAGGAAGGAGAGGGAGAGGGAGAAGGAAAGGGGGCCCCCCUUCCUUGUCCAAUUCAGACUCAAGGGGGAGGGGGCGGCCUGCCCUGGCCGCCCCUCUCUCUCUCCACUAAGGCCCAUCGAGGCCCAUUAGUUCCCUGGGGGUUUCCGAUAACCCUCCGGCGCGCUGGUUUUAUCCGAAACUUCUCUGAAACACUUCCGGUGUCCGAAUAUAGUCGUCCAAUAUAUCAAUCUUUAUGUCUCGACCAUUUCGAGACUCCUCGUCAUGUCCGUGAUCACAUCCGCGACUCCGAACAACCUUCGGUACAUCAAAACACAUAAACUCAUAAUAAAACUGUCAUCGUACUGUUAAGCGUGCGGACCCUACGGGUUCGAGAACUAUGUAAACAUGACCGAGACACGUCUCCGGUCAAUAACCAAUAGCGGAACCUGGAUGCUCAUAUUGGCUCCCACAUAUUCUACGAAGAUCUUUAUCGGUCAGACCGCAUAACAACAUACGUUGUUCCCUUUGUCAUCGGUAUGUUACUUGCCCGAGAUUCGAUCGUCGGUAUCUCAAUACCUAGUUCAAUCUCGUUACCGACAAGUCUCCUUACUCGUUCCGUAAUUGUAGGAUCGAAAGUAUGUCUAGAGGGGGGGUGAUUAGACUACUUGACCAAAUAAAAACUUAACCUUUUCCCAAUUUUAGUUCUUGGCGGAUUUUAGCUAUUGUAGGACAAGUCAAGCAAUCAUCACACAAUUCAAGCAAGCAUGCAAAGAGUAUAUUGGCAGCGGAAAGUAAAGCAUGCAACUUGAAAGAAUGUAAAGGGAAGGGUUUGGAGAAUUCAAACGCAAUUGGAGACACGGAUGUUUUUCCCGUGGUUCGGAUAGGUGGUGCUAUCCUACAUCCACGUUGAUGGAGACUUCAACCCACAAAGGGUAACGGUUGCGCGAGUCCACGGGGGGCUCCACCCACUAAGGGUAACGGUUGCGUGAGUCCACGGAGGGCUCCACCCAUGAAGGGUCCACGAAGAAGCAACCACCCACAAAGGGUCCACGAAGUAGCAACCUUGUCUAUCCCACCAUGGCCAUCGCCCACGAAGGACUUGCCUCACUAGCGGUGGAUCUUCACGAAGUAGGCGAUCUCCUUGCCCUUACAAACUCCUUGGUUCAACUCCACAAUCUUGUCGGAGGCUCCCAAGUGACACCUAGCCAAUCUAGGAGACACCACUCUCCAAGAAGUAACAAAUGGUGUGUAGGUAAUGAACUCCUUGUUCUUGUGCUUCAAAUGAUAGUCUCCCCAACACUCAACUCUCUCUCAUAGGAUUUGGAUUUUGUGGAAAGAAGAUUUGAGUGGAAAGCAACUUGGGGAAGGCUAGAGAUCAAGAUUCAUAUGGUAGGAAUGGAAUAUCUUGGUCUCAACACACGAGUACGUGGUUCUCUCUCAGAACAUAUGAGUUGGAAUUGUGUAUGUGUUCUGAUGGCUCUCUCCAUGAAUGAAGAGGAGGUGGAGGGGUAUAUAUAGCCUCCACACAAAAUCCAACCGUUACACACAGUUUUCCAAUCUCGGUGGGACCGAAUCAACAAACUCGGUCGGACCGAAAAGGUAAACCUAGUGACAGUUAGAGAUUUUCGGUGGGACUGACAUGCAACUCGGUAGGACCGAUAUGGUUAGGGUUUGGGCAUAACGUAAUCUCGGUGAGACCGAUUACACAAACUCGGUGAGACCGAUUUUGGUAAUUAGCUAACCAGAGAGUUGGUCAGGCAAACUCGGUGGGACCGAUUUGCUCUUUCGGUGAGACCGAAAAGUUACAAAAAGGAAACACUGAAUUUACAUUGCAAUCUCGGUGGGACCGAUUCGCUCUUUCGGUGAGACCGAAAAGUUACGAAAGGGAAACAGAGAGUUUGCAAUCCCAUCUCGGUGAGACCGAGAUCCCUAUCGGUAGAACCGAUUUGCUAGGGUUUGGCAGUGGCUUAUGACAAGUGAAACUCGGUGGCGCCGGAUAGAAAGAAUCGGUAGGACCGAGUUUGGCUUAGGGUUUAGGUCAUUUGUGGAUAUGGGAAAGUAGUUGAGGGUUUUGGAGCAUAUCACUAAGCACAUGAAGCAAGAGGCUCAUUAAGCAACACCUCAUCCCUCCUUGAUAGUAUUGGCUUUUCCUAAAGACUCAAUGUGAUCUUGGAUCACUAAAAUAUAAAAUGAAGAGUCUUGAGCUUUUGAGCUUGAGCCAAUCCUCUGUCCUUAGCAUUUUGAGGGUUCCACUUUCACCAUCCAUGCCAUGCCAAUCAUUGAGCUUUCCUGAAAUAAUCAUCUUAGAAUAGCAUUAGCUCAAUGAGCUAUAUGUUGUUAUGAAUUACCAAAACCACCUAGGGAUAGUUGCACUUUCAAUCUCCCCCUUUUUGGUAAUUGAUGACAACAUAUAGAUCAAAGCUUCGACAAAUGAUAAUAAGCAUGAAAUAUAUCGUCGCUUUGAGAAGUAUGUGACAAGUAAGAGCUCCCCCUAAAUUUGUGCAUUUUUAAAAUUUGCUUUGGACUGCAAAUGCACAAGGAGUUAGAGUCAUGGGUUACUCUUCCAUGUCACAUACAUCUUGGUGGAGCGCUUAAAAUGAUAAGAAUGAAAUACAUGCACUCAUCACCAAGGAUAGUGAAUGAUCACAUAAGAUAGAUAAGAUGAUAAUAUUAAGCAAACAUAAGUGUAGCUUAUGAUCAAACACAUGAUCAUCAAUGUCUCACGAGCAAUGACAUAGUAUCUCAAGCACUCAAAAGCAAACAAAGUUCGAAAAACCACCAAAUAAAACAAGAGAGAAUAAAGGCAACACUCUCUCUCGAAGCCUAUGAUCUAUACAUUUUCUCCCCCUUUGGCAACAAGUUACCAAAAAGUUCCUAGAAAAUGCAUAGUGCUAGAUCAAUGCUCAGGCUUGAUCUUCUGGUGGUGGUGGAGUCCGGAGCACUCCAAGGACGAAGCCUUCUGUAGACGUGGUCGGAGUUGAAGCUGAAGUGGAUGCUGGAGCUGGUGGAACUGAAGUUGUAGCAACUGGCACUGCAUGUGAUCUCUGAGCUCUUGGCACUCUGGCAAAUGCAUCAGUUGUAGUCUUGCCUCUCCUCUCCUGCAUGUCAUCCUGAAGUUGUUCCACUGCAGACUGAAUCUCUGUUACUUUGACAUCCAAGUCAUAGAACUUCUGUUCCAUGAUCCUCUCUAAGCUCUGCUGAUUCUGAGUGAGGGUGGCCAGUCCUUGCUCAAUCCUCAGUGUGGAUGCAAUCAAGUAACCAAGCUGCUCUUGUUUGGUUUUCAAGAAAUACUCAGAUGCCUCCUCUUGAGUUGGCAUCUUGGCAGCUUUCUCCUUCUUUGCCUUCUCCUUCUUUGCUUGUGCUUGGGCAGACGAUGGUUCAUUCUUAGUCAUAACAACUUGAUUAUCUUCAAAAUCUGGAUGGAUGGGCAGGUUUUCCUUGUCCAAUAAGUAUAUGUCCGUGCCCAUCUUGGAGUUGAUGAGCUCCUGAAUCUGUGGGGCAUAUCCACAGCUCCUCUUUUGGUCUGCUGCUGCCCUCUUGAUUGUCUCUACCAUGAGGCUCAUCACCUUGAACUUCUGUGGCACAUCAAAUAUAUGAAGCAAAUUUAUUGCAUGGCCUCUGAUCAUCUUGUGAUCUCCAGACUUGGGCAACAAGGUGUGCCUCAAAAUCCAAUUAAUAGUUGGCAGCACUGACAGAAGAUAAUGCACCGAGCCAAAUUUGAAAGUUUCAAGAGCUUCAUUUGGAAUCUCCUUGUACAUAUUGGACAUAGAGUUGUGGUCCAUCUUCUUCUUGGCAUAGAUAUCCAAGUCAUCCUCAUGCUCCUCUGGGGCAUUGAUCAGCUGAGCCCAUUCAGCAACUGUAGAUUGGUACCUCGUACCUUCAGACAUCCAUGUGAUCUUUCCAUCUGGGUAGAAAUGUGCCGUGGAGUAGAAUUGCAUAAUAAGUUCCUCGUUCCACUUUGUGAGCUUCUGCCCAACAAAGUAUGCUACUCCAUAAGCAUUGAAGCUGUCUUGCACUCCAGGAUAGUGCUCUUCAUUGUCCUUGAUGUAUUGCCAGUCAACCCAUCUCAUAUCACAGACUAUUGGCUUCUUAUCAAGCAGCACUGUCUCAUAGAAAUCUUGUUGUUCCUUGGUGUGAAACCUGUAAUCCACAGCAGUUCUUCUCCUUGAAGCAUACGGCUCUGCUUCUCUCCACUUCCUGAGCCCUGAGUCUCUCCUGAGCUUCAUGUCCUCAGGCACAGGAUGAGCAUCACUAUGGUCUGGGAUCUUGGGCUUGAGCUUUCUGAGCACUUGACCUUCUUCUUCUUCAGCAAUGUCAGGCACUUGGGCCUUGUUCUUUUUAGCUGCAGGUAUGCUCCUUGUAUUUCUCUUUGGUGCAGACUUGGGCUUGGAGGCAGCUUUGGGUGCUUUUUUGGGCUUAGAUGUGGCAGCCCCUGAUCUUAUAGCAUCACCCAUAAGCUUAGGUGCCUUAGGUGCUGGUGCAGCAACCUCUUCUUCUUCCUCUUCUUCCAUGAUGGAAGCCUUUCCAAGCACUCUGGCUAUGGUCUUCUUGACCCUUUCCUUCCUUUUCUUGCCUUCAGCAGCAACUGGCUCUAUGGGAGUGGGCUUCUCAGGAAUCUUGGUUGAAGCUCUGGCCUUUGGCAUAGGCUGCCUGCCUGCUGGCCUUUUGAUCUUUAAGCCUGGCUUUGUGCCCUGUGCUGGCUCAACUCUCUUUGAUGUGGCUUCCUCUUCCUAUGCCACAUAAUCUUCAUCCUCAGAUUCUGAGGUUCUCUUCUUCCUCUGUCUGGUGGCAGCUUUAGGCAGAUUGCUAGGAGUACUUCUGCUGCCAUCAUCUGAAGAACUUGAGGGACUAGUGCCCUCACUCAUCUGCACUUGCUCUUCUGACAUGUUCUGGCUAUCACUUUGGUCUGACAUGAUGAACAAGCUGACUGCUGACCCUGUGAAUAGUUUAUAGAUGAGGUAGAAUAGAUGAGCAUCACCAAAAUGCAGAGAUUUUUGCAAAAGAAUGAUCCAAAAACUUAGUUUUAGUUUCCCACUGAAAUCAUCUCGGAUCUACCGAUUUUCAAACUCGGUGAUACUGAAGCAGUUUUGGAACCUAAACUAGUGAACACGGUUGGACCGAGUCACAGUUUGGUGGCACCGAGACUGCUAGGGUUUCACAAAGUUCCAAAAUCGGUCACACUGAUAAGUAAUUCUCGGUCAUACCGAGUCUCACUUGUGCAAUGGCAUGAGCCAAAUUGGUGGGACCGAGUUUUUCAACUCGGUGGGUCCGAGAUCGUUUCGGCGGAAACCUAAACCUAGAAUUUUCGAAUCAAACCUAAUCUACGAGCGCAUUGACUGGAUAGGAGUGUUUCAAUCGUGGCAAGAAUCAUUAAGAACACAAUGUGCUAGGAAUCGGACGGGGAAUAGCACUGUGAUCGAGUCCAUACCCUAGUUCGGCGGAGACUCGCUACGGCGGCAACGGCGGGGUUGAAUUCCGUUGACGGCGAUGGAGACCGGCGACUGGAGGCGGCUGGCAGCGAGUAGACGAUCCGGAGACCACGUUGGCAGAGCAGGCUAUCGCGCGGGCGAAGGGGUUCGGAGAAAUUUCCAAAUUUUUGCCCGUGACUAUAUAUAGCCCGACCCUGUCGGUGUGACCGAGUGGAACAACUCGGUGGCACCGAGAUGCAAAACUGUACCGAAUGGUUCAAAUCGGUUGCACCGAGAUGCAAAACUGUACCGAAUGGUUCAAAUCGGUUGCAUCGAGAUCGAAAACCUAGAUCAACUUAAUGAGCUCGGUAGGACCGAAAGUGGGGUAUCUGUCAGACCGAGAAUCAUAAAGAGGUUUUGGAAGUUUAAGUCUAUGACGAAUCGGGGACUCCGAGCGCUCCUCACACAGAGUGGUUCGAAUCUGACUUGAUCAAAUUUUGUGAUGUAGCAUGAAUAGAGUUUGAGACGAGAAAAGCAUAGAUAGCUAGAGGAGGUUCUUAGGCAUUCUUGUCCAUCCACUUGGAAAAAGGAAAUAAAACCAAACAAUCAAAACAACAAGUGGAUGUCCUCGAAUGAGUAAAAUAUGCAACCAGCAUGCUCACACAAUAAGAUGGCAAAUGAAAUAUGUGACAAGACAUGCACAACCAAUUCUAGCAUCUAUCAAGCAAUUUGCGAUGACAAGGUCAUCUAUAUAUGAGUAUAUUGACUUAGGAGUCAAGUGAGAACACUUGAUCAUAGGUCAUACUCAUCAUUUAAGCUCAAGUGGGGUUACCACUUUUACAUAAAGCAUUGUUGUGUUCACAUCUUUAGAGUUGCUUUAGCUCAAGUCUUAGAGUAAAGCUCCCCCUAGAUGUGAUAUCCCCCUUAGAGGGAUGAACUAACCUUGGGUUUUGUCGAUGAUGACUUCAUGUAGAUGUUGAAGAUGUGGAUGCUCAAUGUUGAUGUAGAUCACUUGGAGCUAUCCAUUUGAGUGAAUUGCACUUUCAAUACCUACAUGGGUUAGUCCCACAAGGAACAAACAAGGAUAUCCAUAGACAUAGAGUGAUGCACACACAAGAUGAUGUCCAUGAAAACUUUUAGGUUACCUUGUCCCUUGUCUUACCAACAAUAGGGUUUGUGACUCCUUGAACUAGUGCAAGAUGUGGAAGUUGAUUGCACUUGUUCUUGCCAAAAUGAUAAGAGUGAAGUAUGUUGGCGGAGUCACCCUCAAGAACUCUCUAGUUCUUCUUCUUUUGGAUCCACACCAUCUUGAUGGGAAUCCUUGGAGUUGUAGUCGUACUUGAUGAAGUGGAACUUGAAGUAGUCUUGGGAAUCCACUUGACUGAGGUCUUAGGAGCUUCUUCAAAUGCAUCAAUUUCCUCUUGAAGCUUGUCCUUGCCUUUUUUUCUUGUAGUCUUGUGGUGGAAGAUCAUCUUGAGCUUGUGUCCCCUUGAAAGAAGUAUCAUACUUCUCUUGUUGAGGAACAAACUUUGUCUUGGGGUAUUGAUCUUCUUCCCACUCAACUCCAUUGGCAUUGAACUUUCGUUCAAAACCAACACCUUGAUUCUUCCGGUGCAUUCCUUGCUUGCGCACAAUUUCCUCGAAUUGCUUACUCCCGGCAAGGCUUUUGUACACUCCUUUCUCUAUAAUUCCCUUCAAUAAGCUAUUUUCUUGCUCAAGUGUAACUUGGCUAAGAGAAUCAUUAGUGGAAUCAAGAGAACUACUAGAAGCAAUAAUAUUGGAUUUAGCAUGAUCAUUGUUACUGCUAGAGGAAGAAUCUUUCUUCUUACUAGACUUGACUUGAGGCAUGUAAGUGGAUAAGAGUAAACGCUUGGCAAUGUAAGAAGAACUUUUCUUGCGGAUAUCAUCAUUGAUUGCUUUUAAGAACUCAUGCUCUUGCUCAAUAUUGAGCUUUUCAAAGCGUAAUUUCUCAUGAGCUCUUAAAAGUUCUCGAUGAUCUUCGAAGAUAGUUUCAUGAGCUAACUUAAGAGUGUUUAGUUCUUUAGUUAGAGCCUCAAUCUUCUCCUUAUCAUUGUCAUUCGUUUUAUCUUGAUUAGCAUGAUUAAUUGAUGUUUCAUCAUAGUAUUCAUCACUAGAGUUGUCAACAAGCAAAUCAUCACCUAACAAGUCAUCUUCAUCACUAUUGAAAUCAACAUACUCGGGGUGUGUUACCUUAGGACCUUUGGUCAUGAAGCAUCUUCCAAUUCCUUCAUUUGGUGAGUCAAAUAUGUCGUAGGAGUUGGUUGACACAAGUGCUAGACCGGCAACACCUUCAUCUUGAGUAUCUUCGGAGUCGGAGUGAUAACUUCUCUCGGAGUGGCUGUCGGAGUCGGAGCCGGAUACCCAUUCACCAACAUGAGCUUGAUGUCUUCGUUUUGUGUAGCUCCUUGAUGAUUUUUCCUUCCUUUCUGAAUCCUUGCUUCUCCGUGAGUAUCUUUGUUCAUAACGAUCAUCUCUACUCCUUCUCUCUCUUGGUGGUGAUUCUUUGCUUCUUCUUUUUGGAGAAUCUUCUCUUCUCUUGUAGGGAGCCGUACACUCAUUGGAAUAGUGUCCGGGUCUUCCACAACUGUAGCAGUUUCGCUCUCGACUAGAAGAUCUUUUGUCAUUGUAGGACCUUGACUUGAAGCUCAAUUCUUCAUUGAAGUUUUGUUUCUCACUUGAUGAUGUAGGGGCUUCACAUGAGGCUUUGUAGGCACCACUUGAUUUGUUGUGAAGUUCCUCUUUAUCCUUAAGUGACAUCUCAUGAGCAACAAUUCUUCCAAUCACCUCCGUUGGCUUGAGAUCUUUGUAAUUGGGCAUCAUUUGGAUCAAUGUGCACACGGUAUCAUAUUUUCCAUCCAAGGCUCUUAGAAUCUUCUUGAUGAUGAAUCUAUCGGUCAUCUCUUCACUUCCUAAGCCGGCAAUCUCAUUUGUGAUGAGAGCAAGCCUAGAGUACAUUUCAGCGACACCUUCACCAUCCUUCAUUUUGAACUUGUCAAGUUGACUUUGAAGCACAUCCAACUUGGAUUCCUUGACGGAGUCGGCACCUUCGUGCAUAUCAAUCAAAGUGUCCCAAAUUUCCUUUGCAUUCUCAAGACGGCUGAUUUUGUUGAAUUCUUCGGGGCACAGUCCGUUGAAGAGAAUAUCACAAGCUUGAGCAUUGUAUUGCAACAUCUUCAACUCAUCCGCGGUAGCUUCACGGUUUGGUUCUUUCCCAUCAAAGAAGUCACCUUGCAAACCAACACACACAAUAGCCCAAACGGCGGGGUUAUGUCCAAGAAUAUGCAUUUUCAUUUUAUGCUUCCAACUAGCAAAAUUAGUACCAUCAAAGUAAGGACCUCUACGGUGAUAAUUUCCCUCGCUAGACGCCAUACUCUCCUAGGUUGUGAAACCAAGGCUAUGACCACCAAAAGCUAUGGAGAUCAAAGCAAAUGGAGACCAAAGCUCUGAUACCAGUUGUAGGAUCGAAAGUAUGUCUAGAGGGGGGGUGAUUAGACUACUUGACCAAAUAAAAACUUAACCUUUUCCCAAUUUUAGUUCUUGGCAGAUUUUAGCUAUUGUAGGACAAGUCAAGCAAUCAUCACACAAUUCAAGCAAGCAUGCAAAGAGUAUAUUGGCAGCGGAAAGUAAAGCAUGCAACUUGCAAGAAUGUAAAGGGAAGGGUUUGGAGAAUUCAAACGCAAUUGGAGACACGGAUGUUUCUCCCGUGGUUCGGAUAGGUGGUGCUAUCCUACAUCCACGUUGAUGGAGACUUCAACCCACAAAGGGUAACGGUUGCGCGAGUCCACGGAGGGCUCCACCCACUAAGGGUAACGGUUGCGCGAGUCCACGGAGGGCUCCACCCAUGAAGGGUCCACGAAGAAGCAACCACCCACAAAGGGUCCACGAAGUAGCAACCUUGUCUAUCCCACCAUGGCCAUCGCCCACGAAGGACUUGCCUCACUAGCGGUGGAUCUUCACGAAGUAGCCGAUCUCCUUGCCCUUACAAACUCCUUGGUUCAACUCCACAAUCUUGUCGGAGGCUCCCAAGUGACACCUAGCCAAUCUAGGAGACACCACUCUCCAAGAAGUAACAAAUGGUGUGUAGGUAAUGAACUCCUUGCUCUUGUGCUUCAAAUGAUAGUCUCCCCAACACUCAACUCUCUCUCAUAGGAUUUGGAUUUUGUGGAAAGAAGAUUUGAGUGGAAAGCAACUUGGGGAAGGCUAGAGAUCAAGAUUCAUAUGGUAGGAAUGGAAUAUCUUGGUCUCAACACACGAGUAGGUGGUUCUCUCUCAGAACAUAUGAGUUGGAAUUGUGUAUGUAUUCUGAUGGCUCUCUCCACGAAUGAAGAGGAGGUGGAGGGGUAUAUAUAGCCUCCACACAAAAUCCAACCGUUACACACAGUUUUCCAAUCUCGGUGGGACCGAAUCAACAAACUCGGUCGGACCGAAAAGGUAAACCUAGUGACAGUUAGAGAUUUUCGGUGGGACUGACAUGCAACUCGGUAGGACCGAUAUGGUUAGGGUUUGGGCAUAACGUAAUCUCGGUGAGACCGAUUACACAAACUCGGUGAGACCGAUUUUGGUAAUUAGCUAACCAGAGAGUUGGUCAGGCAAACUCGGUGGGACCGAUUUGCUCUUUCGGUGAGACCGAAAAGUUACAAAAAGGAAACACUGAAUUUACAUUGCAAUCUCGGUGGGACCGAUUCGCUCUUUCGGUGAGACCGAAAAGUUACGAAAGGGAAACAGAGAGUUUGCAAUCCCAUCUCGGUGAGACCGAGAUCCCUAUCGGUAGAACCGAUUUGCUAGGGUUUGGCAGUGGCUUAUGACAAGUGAAACUCGGUGGCGCCGGAUAGAAAGAAUCGGUAGGACCGAGUUUGGCUUAGGGUUUAGGUCAUUUGUGGAUAUGGGAAAGUAGUUGAGGGUUUUGGAGCAUAUCACUAAGCACAUGAAGCAAGAUGCUCAUUAAGCAACACCUCGUUCCUCCUUGAUAGUAUUGGCUUUUCCUAAAGACUCAAUGUGAUCUUGGAUCACUAAAAUAUAAAAUGAAGAGUCUUGAGCUUUUGAGCUUGAGCCAAUCCUCUGUCCUUAGAAUUUUGAGGGUUCCACUUUCACCAUCCAUGCCAUGCCAAUCAUUGAGCUUUCCUGAAAUAAUCAUCUUGGAAUAGCAUUAGCUCAAUGAGCUAUAUGUUGUUAUGAAUUACCAAAACCACCUAGGGAUAGUUGCACUUUCAGUAAUACAUCAUCCCGCAACUAACUCAUUAGUUGCAAUGCUUGCAAGGCUUAAGUGAUGUGCAUUACCGAGAGGGCCCAGAGAUACCUCUCCGACAAUCGGAGUGACAAAUCCUAAUCUCGAAAUACGCCAACCCAACAUGUACCUUCGGAGACACCUAUAGAGCACCUUUAUAAUCACCCAGUUAUGUUGUGACGUUUGGUAGCACACAAAGUGUUCCUCUGGUAAACAGGAGUUGAAUAAUCUCAUAGUCAUAGGAACAUGUAUAAGUCGUGAAGAAAGCAAUAGCAACAUACUAAACGAUCGUGUGCUAAGCUAACGGAAUGGGUCAUGUCAAUCACAUCAUUCUCCUAAUGAUGUGAUCCCGUUAAUCAAAUGACAACUCAUGUCUAUGGUUAGGAAACAUAACCGUCUUUGAUCAACGAGCUAGUCAAGUAGAGGCAUACUAGUGACACUCUGUUUGUCUAUGUAUUCACACAUGUAUUAUGUUUCCGGUUAAUACAAUUCUAGCAUGAAUAAUAAACAUUUAUCAUGAUAUAAGGAAAUAAAUAAUAACUUUAUUAUUGCCUCUAGGGCAUAUUUCCUUCAGGUAGCCCAAUCCUUUUGAGGCAAAGGACAGGCCAAAACGGUCUCUUGUGAUAACCAAAGCGUUCUUGAGGGUACACGGGAAUUUCAUCUAGUCACUUUCAUCAUGUUGGUUUAAUUCGUGUUUGGUACUUUGAUGAUUUGAUAUGUCAGUGGACCGGUGCUUAGGUGUUGUUCUUAUUUGAAAAAAUCCCCUACUUAUGAUUAACCCUCCCGUAAGCAUCCGCAACUACGAGAAAAGUAUUAAGAAUAAAUUCUAACCAUAGCAUUAAACUUUUGGAUCCAAUCGGUCCCUUACAGAAUAGCGCAUAACUAGGGUUUAAGCUUCUGUCACUCUCUCAACCUAUCAUCUAAUUGCUACUCCACAAUGCAUUCCCUUAGGCCCAAAUAUGGUGAAGUGUCAUGUAGUCGACGUUCACAUGACACCACUAAGGGAAUCACAACAUACAUACUAUCAAAAUAUUGAACACAUAUCAAGUUCACAUGAUUACUUGCAAUAUGAUUUCUCCUGUGACCUCAAGAACAAAAGUAACUACUCACAAAUGAUAAUAAUGCUCAAGAUCAGAGGGGCAUUAAAUAGCUUAUUGGAUCUGAAUAUAUAAUCUUCCACCAAAUAAACCAUAUAGUAAUCAACUACAAGAUGUAAUCAACACUACUAGUCACCCACAAGCACCAAUCUAUAGUUCCGGUAACAAGAUUGAACACAAGAGAUGAACUAGGGUUUGAGAUGAGAUGGUGUUAUUGAAGAUGUUGAUGGAGAUUGCCCUCCCUAAGAUGGGAGAGUUGUUGGUGAUGAUGAUGACGAUGAUUUCCACCUCCGGGAGGGAAGUUUCCCCGGCGGAAUCGCUCCCGCCGGAGGGCAAAAGUGCUCAUGCCCAAGUUCCACCUCGAGACGGCGGGGCUCCGUCCCGAAAGUCCUUCCCUUAUUGUUCUAGGUCAAAAUGACCUAUAUACCAGAAGAUGGGCACCAGAGGUGGGCCUAGGUGAGCACAACCCACCAGGAUGCGCCUGGGCUCCCUGGCGCACCCAGGUGGGUUGUGCCCCACCUGGUGAGCCCCCUCUGGUAGUUAUUUGCUCCAAUAUUCCUCAAAUAUUUCAUAAAAAAUCCUCGUGAAGUUUUAGCUUGUUUGGAGUUGUGGAGAAUAGGUGGCCUGACGUAACUUUUCCAGGUCCAGAUUUCCAGCUGCCCGAAUUCUUCCUCUUUGUGUAUACCUUGUGUAUUAUGAGAGAGAAGGCAUUAGAAUUACUCCAAAAAGCAUUAUUAUGGAUAAAAACAUCAUAAAUAACAGUAAGGAAACAUGAUGCAAAAUGGAUGUAUCAGGGAGGUGCGGAAGCUUGGGGGCACGGCAGUGAUCGGCGGCGGCGACGGCUGAGGAGGAAGCCGCGGCGGCGGUGGGAGGCACGGCGGCGGGUGGGAGGGCGGGGGCGACCGGUGGCGGCUAGGUCUAGGAACGACCUGCGAUAGAUACCAUGUAGAAGACUGGAAUAUGUUGUGCAACUCAAUUGCAUUGAUCGGUGCACCAGACACGUAUAUAUGAUGUACAAAGGGGAUCACAACCUCAACUAUACAGAUGAACAAGGAGGUGGGCCCAAGACACAGUAUACACGUACACAAUAUAUUGAACAAUACAGUAUAUAGAUAUACUAAGCAGUGUCAUGGUACGUGCAUACGCAGGCAAGGUGCAUGCACAAAUUAUUUUCACUGCAUGGGUGAGAUAUUCACGUAUGUAUGCAGCCACUUUGCAAUGAUCAUCUAUUGUCAUGCACGUUACUCACAAGGAUUAGCCCCUGCAUGUGAUUUGUACGUGACAAUGUUAAAAUAUUCCGGCUAGCGCUCCAAACCUGACAUGAUGAUGUUUUUUGUUGUUGUUGUUGAGAAUGACAUGAUGAUGUUUUAGGGUUUAGUGGAUUGCUUCGGCGGUUCGGCCCAUGCGAGGAGCCUAGGAAAAUAUCAAUUGAUCCAUGCAACCGGAUAAGGAAGCCAACGAUCAUUCGGGAUAAAAUUGAUCUGCUCCGAUUUUCUGCCUAGCAACGCACCAGCGCAUCAAACAGAAAAUCGGCGGCGCCCCGCACCGGACGAGGCGCACCUUCAGCCCUAGCCCCUCGGCUCCUCCUCUCCGUAACCCCAAAUCCAGCGGCCAUCCCUCCCGAGUCCCGAGUCGUUUCUGUUGCCUAGCUAGUUGCCCCUCUCGCCUUUGGCGGCCGCGGCGGCUGAUCGGGGGUGGCGCAGGCAAAUCGCCGCUCUUGAAUCUGGUGACCAUCCCAUUACCUGCUCUUGAUCCGACUUUGUAAUUGCGGGAUUUGGGGGUACGUGUUUGAUUGUGAUACGUGCACAUGUUUGAACGGGAUUUAAGCUUUGCUGAGAUUUCGACGAUAAGUCUGCUAUUUUCAAGAGACUCUGGCGUGCGCGCCGUUGCCCGAAGAUUUUCGGUGUGACGAACCCUCGUUCGCUCGGCAGGCCGAUGGAACCCGAACUCCACAGCAGCAGCAAAUUGUUGGAGGUUCGUAUCAUCCUUUAAAUUCCAUCAGGUUGUGCGUUUGAAUGAGUGGAAACAAAUCAGUAGCUUGUUCGAAUAUAUGGGACAGUCAGUUUGUGCGUUUGAAUAUGUGGAAACAAAACAGAAGCUCGUUCGAAUACAUGGGAGAGGCGUGGAACUCAUCCAAUAACAAAACGCAAAGUUCUGAUUUUUUUUUUCUGUCUCUAUUUUCCGCUUAUGAAAAUGACAGGUUCUAGCCAAAUCACAUCCGUGCAAGAGCGUGUAGGAGGGUGCCAUGCAGGCAAAGGCUUUGGAUAAUAAGCUUAGUAAAGUAAAUACCUUUGCGAAUAAUUAUUCUUACUGUUUGUAUCCUUAAGUUACUGCUUCCUAAAUGGUAUCUUCAUCCGCAGAUUGCACAAGAUCGGGUCAUACAUUCUACAGGUACCUGUCACCGAUGCCACUUUGGUUAGGUCUUGCAACGAGUAUGUUCAUGCAAUUUUUUGGUGAUAGUGUCUUAAUUUUUUUUCGUCGUCUUAAACGUUGCAUUUCAUAGGUGGAUGAAUUUGCUCACCAUUUGUGUUGCCCGAGUUUGGUGGACCACUGCAGCAUGCCAUUUUCAAGAUACUAUAUGAUAAACUGGUUCAAGAGAACGAAGUGGCCAUACUAUAUGAUAAACUGGUUCAAAAGAACGAAGUGGCCGAAUGGAAGGUCGUUGCUGAUGCACAUGUACAUUUUAUGGAAUUCAAACGACGGUGUACCCAUUAAACCUCUCUAUGGUCCUCCUUUCCCAACAAUCCCACCAGUAAGUGACAUCCCUAUUAUUACGCUAUUAUUAUAUUUACUUUGGGUGUGACUAUGUUGUGAGUCUUCUAUUUUCAAAUAUACACCAACACAUAAGCUGUGACUCCUUCUCUAAUUGGGUCAUUUCUGUGUUUAUUUCUGGUUAAUUUGCUGCCGCUUAUCUCACUGUCAGCUUUACCUCCCGUUCGUCAUUCAGUGUUUAACCUCAAUUGUGUGAAUUUUUUUAUUUCCCAUCUGACCCUACUUGGAAUCGACAAACACAGAGAAGUUUGUAUCCACUCUAGAAAUAUGCAUAUCUACCAAGAGAAAAGCAUGUGUAAUGAAAAUAGAACAAUGAAACUUCGGAAUUUCUAAACUGCAGAGAUUUAGUUUGGCUAUUUCUAGACUACACUUUCUAUUACAUAGUUACAACGUGUCCCUCUAGAGUUACCUUCCAUGCAAAGAUACCAGGGACACCUAGAACCUUGUUCCUACAUGAUGCUGCUGUAUUAUCAGUCCUGGUUACACAUUAUUUUUGUCGGUGAAUAAAACUAAUCUUACUCCAUGCAUCUUUUUUGUUGGGUCAACAGGCCAACGGCCGUAGCAGGUCAAGCGAGAUGUUUUGUUCGAUAUUUCCUUGGUUAUCAAGUUAGUUUUUAGCCGUCAAGUUAGUUGUUUCACGGCCUAGGCCCCAACUUGUCUGCAGGCUAUAUGAAUGCCUUGCACCUUCUCGGGGAUAUAAAGCAUUCACAUAAUUACCUUAUAUCUUCUUUAUCGUUCCUAGAAGCUUAGAGUUUACCAAUUUGGGAUCACAACCAUGUACGAUGGCGGACGAUGACAUAGAGGAGCAACACAUCACCGAGACCAUCGAAAUGAUCGCCCUCUAGCUUGAGAACUUCACAUGCGAGCGAGGGGAGGAGCAUGCAUUCUUAGCGGAGGCGUUGCAAUGCCUCACAACACCUCUCCGGCCCAACAACAAUGAUGUUGGAGCCUCAACAUUGUGACCGUCUACCGCCAGCCUCUCUAGAUCAACCGCCAAUCUUAGGCUUACCACCAAAUGUUCGCCUCCCUCCCAUAACCACUAAUAUUCUCCCGACCCCCACAUCCCACCACCACAACCACCCUUCCACCCUCUGCCUACCAUGCUUCGUCCUUCCGCGCACCAACAAAUGUCGAAAAUUAAUCUUCGAGCAACAUCCUACCAACACUUGCCAUAUGCUAUUCUCUUUCUUAACCACAGUCACCAUCUUGGUUGCUGGCAAGCACACACCUUCUCAACUAUGGCUACACACCCCCAUUGAGCACCGUCCCAACCCUACCAACCCACAACCAGUAUGCCUCCGGCUCGAGCUUCAGCAACCUUGUGCUUCCACAAGCUUGAUUGCCCACUUAUCACAGCUUGAUUGCCCACUUAUCACGGCUUGAUCGACCUGCACAUGUGGCUGAACCGUUGUGAGUAGUUCUUCUGUGGCAAACGCAUGGAGGAAGUCAAAAAAAACGUGGACGACAUCCUAUCACCUAAAUGAUGAGUCAUGACUAGGGUAAGCCAUCCUAGGAGCAAUUAAGGAGGUGUGCAAUUUGUGGUUUGGUCCAUCCAUCCGCCAACCCCCUCGGCUAGCUGGCUUACAAUUCACCACCUUGAGACAUGGAGUUGAACUCUUUGCCCUUAUCUCUCAUAACAGUGAACUAGGUGACCCCAACUCAACAGCAUAUCUUGAACAUGGAGGGGUUGCUCUAGGGGUUGCACACCGACCUUAAGCUCCAACGACCCCCUUCACUUACACACCACCAUCACCAUUGCAAAAGGCACAUGAAUAUCCGCAUCUACAACCUUCGUCUUUGACUCGAGUGACAUGGACCCGAUGACACACCUUGGGUAUAGGUGGAAUCCCCUAUCGGACAUCUCGACCAACAAUGACUCCAUCAACACAUCUGAUGAGUACCCCACCACCAUCACUGUAACGCCUCACCCAUGUGGAGAUGUUCAAACAACGACAAUAAGGCUUGUGCUACCAUUCCAAAAAGCAAUAUAUAUAUGAGUUGCUUGUGUGUGUGGCUAUUCUACGUGGAGCUCGAUGGCAUCACAUCGGACAAUGUUAGGCGACACCGGCAAAUUGAUGAGCCCCAGGUGUCACUGCACACCAUUACCAACAUUAGAAGCAUAUGCGCGACACGCAAUGCAACUCUGUGUGCACAUAGGGACAAUCUUGUAUGUCAUUUUAAUGGGCACAUGAUCCAUUCAGAAUUUCAUUGAUGCCUCAGCGUCUUUGCUUUCUCGUGUCAUCUUCGUCAUUGAGUGGUAGAGUUUCUUCAUCCCUGGCUUGUCGCUCUCGUGUAUAGUCAUAGUGACCAUUUCCACCUUUUCACUAAUCAAUCGGUUUUCACAUUGUGGAACCAUGUCAUGAUGUUGAAGACCACUGAUCCUAGCAAUGAUACCUACCACAUGCUGGCGGGAAGGUGUUAUAUGCACCUCUUCAUCUCUCGUUGCACUCAUUGGGUGUCACGUGCCAUGAUCCAGAUGAUUCUUUCAUCAAUUUUUACUCUCAUGUGUACCGUGACUCGAUCGUUCUACUAUCUGGUUGAGGUUUACAUUUAGUGAUGAUGUGAGAUGAAAAGCAGACAAUGAACGAAAGGUGGUAUGUCCAUGUACGGGUCUACAUGGACCAAAUGUCGCUUCACCUCGGGUCCAUCGAAGGUGUCGAGUUGCUUCUCGACAAGAAAUAUAUUGUCGAUCCUUUUGACACUUGCACAUCACAAGGAAGACACUACUGUCUUUAGUUGUUGAGUGUCGUGUUUUAGUCUAAACAAGAUUCCACGUAGCUAAGCUUCCACCUUCUUGGUGUGCAUGCCAUAUUAUGGAGGUUUUCUUGCCACCCUUCGGGAGGUUGCCUCAACACCUAAUGGUCUGCUCUUUGAUGAUCCCAUCCAGCUUGAUCGUGUCGAGGACUAAUGGGUGUUUGCCAUGCGUUUCCCCAGUUCACGCCAAAGCGGAUUCCCUCGCUUAGCUUUGAGGAUGAGCCGCCAUACCCGCCAGUCUAUUCCUUUAUUUGGUGGCCAGGUGUGCCUCACAAAGAGGGUCAAUCUAUCUGAUCUGAAUUGAUGCAGUGACGGCCCCUUGUUCGACCACCACCUUAAUGUGUGCGAUGAUUCAUUUUGCCGUCAUAGUUCUUGCCAUGAAUGUUUGGUCGUCGUAGUUCCUACCAUGAUUCGGUCAAGGGUCCGUGGCCAGCAUGAUAGUUGCACGCCUACACGUAGUCGCCAGAGAGCCAUUUCGCUACCUUUCUUGGUCUACUACCUCACUCCAGUAGAGACGAUGGAGGUGCUUUCGAAGUUUCCCAAUGAUGGCCUCCUACUCAACUCGCUCUCUCAGCCGAUGGGUCCACUAGUACCACUUGUGUCAUCUCCUACGUACAUUGUUGGGGCCUUGUCUGUCAGCCACAGCCUACUUCCUAUGCCAUAUCGUCUUCCCAGCCAAUUUGUGCAUGUAUGCUUUUUGGAGUGACCCACUCGUGAAUUCUGGCUUAGAGUGGGUUGACUCUGAGUGUCCAUAGUUUUGUGCAAUUUUUUGUUGGCUAUGAAUCUCUCACCCACCCGAGAGGGCCUUUCCAAAUCCCAUUUGUGUUGUGGGGCAGAUCCAAGGUCAUGUGGAGCAGCUCGGUCUGGAGGAUGGGGCUAUCAAGACAGGAGUUUGCUAGAGCUCUAGGACUCACACACAGACGUAGCGGGCUACAACCCAAAAAUAGCUCGCUCGCCUCGCUUCGUUAGGAUCGCUCAGGAAAGCUUGCACGCUUUCUUCAAAAAAAGGGCAUGCUCACACACUAGAUGUUGUUGCUCUCCUCGUUUACAAAAAACAUUACUAUAAAAAAUCAUUUUCUAAAAUCUGAAACAAUGGUUAAAUGAAAAUGUCCAUGAUUUUCAAAUAAAUGUUCUUGAACUUGAAGUAAGUUUGUGGAUUUGAAAAAUAUUGACGAAUUGAAAAAUGUUCAUGAAUUCAAAAACAGUUCGUGAAUUUGGAAAAAAUGUUCACAUAGUUGAAAAAAGGAUCACGAAUUUGGGGAUUUGAAAAAUCUUCACGACUUUUUAGAAUGUUAUUGAAUUAUUGAAUUUGAAAUUUGUUCUUGGUUUCCAAUAAUGUUGAAGAAUUUUAUAAAAAAACAUGAAAUUAUUAUUUGCUGAUAAUAAUAAAAAAGGAAAAAGAAAAAACAUGAACGGAAAACCAGCAAAAAAGAGAGAGAAGAAAAACCAAUCUCAAUGUCGAAAGCUUCUAGAAGCUUAACAAAACCAGUUUGGUGUUCAUGUGUAGAAGCGAUACUAGAUGGGCCCAUCCUUAGAGCAAGUGUGAGCACCUUCUAUAUAUUGUUAUGGAUAUAACCAACACUAUAAGCGCCAAAUAGGGUUUCACCUCUAAGAAGCCCACCUAUGUCAGUGGGCCUAUUAUCGAGGUCCAACUUCUAGGUAGCUAUCACUUCCAACCCUUACUUGUUAGGCCUAUAUACCCCAAAUAGUCUUGUUGUCAGGUUUAGAAUGUGCUGCACCAUGUUCCUAACCUGAACAUCUCCAAUGAUGAAACCAUAUUUGGUGGGAUCCUUCAGUCUUUUAUCCACUAUAUGUUGGUGGCACUAGAUAUGUAUCCCCAUCAAGGAUUGACAUCCGUGCUUGCUUGAGGGUGCUCAUUUCGAAGAGGAAGAGCACUAGGCAUGUUCUAUUUAAUCAGCCAUCCCAAUGAUAAAGCAUGUCUUGGAUCUAACUUAGUAGUGUGUGGACGUUGUUGUUGCGGCACUUGUGGAAAGGUUCCAGUAGCCCAAGAGGAGAGUUGAUAUCAGUGUCCUCGUCCUCACUCACAUCAACUUCCUAUCCAGGCAGUCUCAGUAUUUCGUUAUUCUUUUAGGUUCCACUUAGUCUACCCAACCAACACGGUUAAGGUGUUGUUAAUGUGUGACCUUGUAACUUAUGACGAUAGGUAGUUGUACUAUUGUAUCCGUGUACUAUGUAUAUUGCACACAAGUCAUACAUGUGGCACCCUGAUCCAAAGGACUGUAAUGGAGGCCCACAUCAAUGCUAGGAUCAGACACUCGUGUGUAUUACAAGAAUGUUAUCAAGAGCAAGCAUAAAGAGUACGAACAGUUUAUAGGACCACAUGUGCUAGAACUAUUUAGUGAACCAUGCUAGCCCCUUAUACCCGCCUCACGACAACUGAAACCAGAUCUAACCGGCGACAACUGAAGCAACAUCAAAAGACACUACAAAAACGUAGUGAUUCCGGCCUCACGACAUCUGAAACAAGAUCUAACCGGCGGCAACCAUAGCAACAUCAAAAGACAGUACAAAAACAUAGUGAUUCUGUUCCCACAGGGUACUGACUUGGUUACCAACUAGCCCUCGAAUGUAGCAUCUUGCCUUCAAGGUGAAGAUGUAGUGGAAGAAUCUGGCACAUGAAAAGCUAGGUGGGUACUUUAAAUGUGUUUGCGAGACAAAAAAACAUAGACAAACAAGGCAUGGUUAGGAAUUUUCAAUAAUAAAAUGACUAAAGGGCUUAAUGGGAAAUACUAUUGUCAUGCAUUUGUCAAAAAAAAAUAACACGAAGGCAUGAAAAAACAACUGAUGACUAGAGCAUCAUCGACCUUAAUGCUAUGCUUUUACAGAAAGUUUUUCCACCCAUCGCUAAGUCCAUUCCUGGUGACAAGAUACUUGGCAUGGUCGCUCCGCCCUUCCUCGUCUUUUUGUCUCAUUAUAGUAUCUUUCUCUGGAAGCUUUUCUCUCUUAAAUUACUCGGGAGACCCUUGGAUUGGAGCAACAAAACAUAACCGUUAAGGUCGACGAUGCCAUGGUCUUUUGACUCGUGAAAUCGGAAAAUUCAUGUGAGUUGUUUAAUCAAUUGACAUGUCAUUCUUUCUUGUUAUUGUUUUGUCAAAUGCUCAGCGGAAUUAGUGCCCAUCGACCCCUUCAUUGAUUUUAUUAUUGAAAAUUUCCAUAUUGUUUCUAGAUCUAUACAGUAAUAGAGGAAGAGUUUAUGACAACUGACGAGGAUGUCUAGUCUAAGAGCAUCUCCAGCCAUUUGGCCCCCCAGGACGCAUAAAAAUCGCCCCCUGGGGGCGAGCCGGCGAUGCAAUCGGCGUUGGGGGCAGUUUCGCGCCCAGUCGUCGCCCCCAGCCGCCGAAAUUGGCCCACUUUUUAGCCCCAUUUUGGCGAAUAAAGGGCUCAUAUGGGCGACAAUAGGCCCAUAUUUGGCGUGGUUUGCCAUUUUUCGGCGUUCAAUUAUGCACAUAAAUUUUUUUAUCACAUAUUUCAUCACAAAAAUAUCAAAUACUUCAACAAAAUAGUACAGCAACAAAUAGCUCAGUACAAAUUAUAUAGUUCAACAAAUAAAACUCAUAUUUCAUCACACGUCGCGCCCAGCGUCGCCCUUGAGCCUCCAUAGAUGCUCUAUCAGAUCUUGCUGCAGUUGAUGAUGCACCUGUGAGUCUCGGAUCUCCUGACGCAUACUAAGAUAGGCAGUCCAGGUUGCCGGUAGCUGGUGAUCAACUUCGGCUAGAGGACUCUGCCUAUAGUAUGGUUCAGUGUCAAACACUGGGUCUUCUUGCUCGCUCUCGAUGAUCAUGUUGUGCAAGAUGACACAGCAAGUCAUAAUCUCCCACAUUUAAUCUUUCGACCAGGUCUGAGCGGGGUAUCAGACAACAGCAAAUCAAGAUUGGAGCACACCAAAUGCCCGCUUGACAUCCUUCCUGCAAGCCUCCUAAACCUUCGCAAACCAUGCGUUCUUGCCUCCUAGCACAGGGUUUGAGAUUGUCUUCACAAAUGUCGACCAUCUCGGAUAGAUGCCAUCAGCUAGAUAGUACCCCUUGUUGUAGUGCCGCCCAUUGAUCUCGAAGUUCACCGGAGGAGAAUGACCUUCAACAAGCUUGGCAAAGACAGAAGAGCAUUGCAGCACGUUGAUGUCAUUGUGAGUUCCUGGCAUACCAAAGAAGGAGUGCCAAAUCCAGAGGUCCUGUGUGGCCACCGCCUCAAGCACCACACUGCAACUGCCUUUGGCGCUUUUGUACAUCCCCUGCCAAGCAAAUGGGCAAUUCUUCCAUUUUCAAUGCAUGCAGUCGAUGCUUCCAAGCAUCCCAGGAAAUCCUCUUGCUGCAUUCUGUGCUAGGAUCCGAGCAGUGUCUUCCGCAUUGGGUGUUCUCAAGUAUUGUGGUCCAAACACUGCCACCACUGCCCGACAGAACUUGUAGAAACACUAUAUGCUGGUGGACUCGGCCAUGCGCCCAUAGUCGUCGAGUGAAUCACUAGGAGCUCCAUAUGCAAGCAUCCUCAUCGUUGUCGUGCACUUCUGGAUGGAGGUGAAUCCAAGAGCGCCGAUGCAAUCCAUCUUGCACUUGAAGUAGUUUUCGAACUCCCGGAUGGAAUUCACAAUCCUGAGGAAGAGCUUUCGGCUCAUCCGAUAACGGCGCCGAAAUGUUUUCUCGCCGUGAAGUGGAGCAUCGGCGAAGUAGUCGGAGUAGAGCAUGCAGUAGCCUUCGAGACGAUGCCGGUUCUUUGCUUUCACCCGCCCAGGCGCCGAGCCGCCUCACCGCGGCUUUUCAUUGCUCGCCAGCAGCUGGGCAAGUGCGGCGAGCACCAUGAGAUGCUCUUCUUCCUGGACGUCGGCCUCGGCUUCCUCCUCCAGCAGUGCGGCGAGCGCUUCCUUGUCAUUCGAGUCCAUCGCUGAGGCAGACAAAUCGCCGAACACCUUGCGCUCGGUGGGCGUGUACCCGCCGCUAAAUCGUGCCUUCGCGGCCGGAAACGGCGGCCGGAAACGCCCAGCUGUUGUUGGAGGGGCUGCCGCGGCGAAGCGCUGCUAUUUUUCCGGCGGGGAAUGGCUAUCUAGUGGUGUAGGGCGACGGGCGGCGCCGGGAUAUAGCUACUGGUGGCCGAGGGCGCGAGGGGUGGGAGGCGAGUCGGGGAAGAAAACCUUGACUUUUCCCCUGACGGUGUGGGCCAGCCACGCUUUUCCCUUGCGCCGGAGCCCCCAACUGCUCCCUAGUGCGCCGGGUUCGGCUUGUGACCGCCGGGCGGAAAAAAGGGCCGAACCGGCGAUUUUCGGCGUCCUGGGAGAGCGACUGGGGCGUUUUUUCCGUGUCGGCGCCGAAAAAGUGGCCUGGGGAGGCUUGUUGGGGGCGCGGCUGGAGAUGCUCUAAGGAGGAGGGUCCAAAGAUUAUCACCAGAGUUAGCAUCACAUCAACCAACGAUGAUAGCAACAACGACCUAGCAGCCAACGAUAAUGGUCAGCCACCAUUAGUGGAUAUAGUGAGAGCUCUUAAGCCGAGGAUGGUGAUUCUCAAGGAUGCUCUCAAGGCGGUGAAUGAGAUGGUGGAGGAACUCGAGUCGAGCGAAAGAAGACCAUACAUGUUGUGCUCAACUCCAGCUCCUCAUUCAUUGCACGGAUAGUAUCUUGAGAGUCGUCAUCCUUGAACGGAGGGCUCUCGUCUUCACUAACGUUAAGUGAACAUCAUCCUUGGUUGCUAGGUUGUUGUUGCCAUCAUUAUUCGUUGUUUUGUUGCUAACUCUAAUGGUAACUUUUGGAUCCUCCUUAGAAUUGACAUCACAGUUAGUUGUCGUCACCUCGUACACAGAAAAAUAAGAUUUUUUAGUAACAAAUAACAAAAUGACUAAAGGAAUAAAUGGGCACUACUCCUUGCAUGCAUUUGAUAGAAAAAUUACGCAAAAAAAUCACAAGGCUGAUGACUAGGGCGUCCUCGACCUUAAGGCUAUGUUAUUCUGCAAAGUCUUUCCACCCACCAUUGAGUCCAUCCCUGAUGAUAAGAUACCUCACAGAGUAUUUUAUCAACAUGGAUGAACUUAGUGAUGGGUGGAAAAACUUUGUGGAAAAGCAUAACCUUAAGGUCGACGACCCUAGUCAUCAAUUGCCUUGCAUGCAUUUGACAGAAAAAUAACGCAAAGAAAUCACAAGGCAAUUGAUGACUAGGGUGUCACCGGGGAUGGACUCAGUGGUGGACGGAAAAACUUUGUGGAAAAGCAUAACCUUAAGGUUGGCGAAACCCUAGUCAUCAUUGCCUUGUCGUUCCUUUGUGUUGUUUUCUGUCGAAUGCAUGGCAGAAGCAAUGUCGAUUAAUCCGUUGAGAAAAUUCCUUAUUUAACACUGUCUUAAAAUCUGGUUCCUUAUUUGACACUGGAAAAGUUAUUCUUCCCUAUUUGACACUUGUCCUAAAUUUUAUUCCCUAUACGACACUUCUGUCCAUUUUGAGCCUAAAUGACACCUUUAAAGACGAUUUUGCCCCUCAUGCGGUAUGUAUGUGCGCGCAUGUGUGUGCUGUUGCGUGUGUGGGUGCACGCGCACAUGUGUGCUGCCGCUGCAUGUGUGUGUGCAUAUGUGCUGCAGUGUGUGUUUGCUACUGCGUGUGUACGUGCGCGCGCGUGUGUGCUGUUGCGUGCCUAUGUGNNNNNNNNNNNNNNNNNNNNNNNNNNNNNNNNNNNNNNNNNNNNNNNNNNNNNNNNNNNNNNNNNNNNNNNNNNNNNNNNNNNNNNNNNNNNNNNNNNNNNNNNNNNNNNNNNNNNNNNNNNNNNNNNNNNNNNNNNNNNNNNNNNNNNNNNNNNNNNNNNNNNNNNNNNNNNNNNNNNNNNNNNNNNNNNNNNNNNNNNNNNNNNNNNNNNNNNNNNNNNNNNNNNNNNNNNNNNNNNNNNNNNNNNNNUGCGUGUGUGUGUGUGCACGUGCGCGUGCAUGUUGUUGCGUGUGUGUGUGUGUGUGCAUGUGCGCGUGCGUGUUGUUGCGUGUGUGUGCGCGUGUGUGUGUGUUGGUACAUGUGUAUGUGUUGCUGUGUGUGUUCUCUUGCCCUCGCACUGAUGCUGCGUGCGUGCGCUAUUGCCCCUUACACACAUACCACAUGAGGGGCAAAAGAGUCUUUUCAUGUGUCAUUUAGGCUCAAAAUGGACGGAAAUGUCAUAUAGGGAAUAAAAUUUAGAACUUGUGUCAAAUAGGGAAGAAAAACGUUUCCAGUGUCAAAUAAGGAAACAGAUUUUAAGAUAGUGUCAAAUAAGGAAUUUUCUCUAAUCCCUUGGUCAUUUUAUCACUAAAAAUUCCUAUUCUUUCCUAUGUGUAUAUAGGAAGAGAGGAUGAGGUGAUGACUGCUGAUUGUGAUGUCAACUCUAAGGAGGAGGAUUGUCGUGUUUAGGGACUAGGGGUGUCCUCUUUGUGGUACGACGCUCGUCUCAUUUGUGGUCCCGAUGAGGGGCUAACACGCUCAAGAUCGACUUCUACUCCAUGAUGAUGAAGAUGAAUUGACACGGUGAUUCUUACUCAAAAUUAGGACACUCGGAAGCGUAAAACCCUACGUCCUGCUGGUUGAAUUCACUCGAUGGUGAAGCUUGAUGUUUUAAAGCGCUGAGCACUCCUUGCCAGGAUCUAGCCUAGCUUUGUAGUGUCUUAAAAUGCCAAGGGUUGAAACCCCUACUAUGUAGCCAUGGGCCUCCUUUAUACCUAAGGGGCCACCACAUGUGGCUAUUAUAGCAGAACACCUUUAUAUUAAAUACGGGGGUAUGUGUCGCUCGGAGCUCUUGCCGGAAAGCAAGAUGCAUGUCUUAACCCCCACUAUGUAGCCAUGAGCCUCCUUUUAUGCCAGGAGCUCUUGCCGGGGAGCAAGAUGCCUGUCUUGUCAUACCACUUGUGGUGUAUUUGCUCUGACCGUAAGGUGUUGAGUACGUGGUAAAUGACCGCAAGGUGUUGAGUGGUGUAUUUGCUCUGACCGUAAGGUGUUGAGUACGUGGUAAAUGACCGCAAGGUGUUGAGUACGCGGUAAAAAAAGGGUGGUGAUUCACCCGCGUCUUCGCCUAACUGCAUCGUGCCAGGCUGCCACCCAAUCAUCCCUAUAGUCUAGGCCCACCGCCGUAAGCCCCUGUAGCAGCAGCUGUCGCCAAAAAGUGACCAGUUUAUGUGCAUUUUGUUCUCUUGAUGAACACAACUACUCCCGUUCUAAAAUAAAUGACUCAACUUUGUAUUAACAUUAGUAUAAAGUUGGUUCAUCUAUUUUGCAACGGAGGGAGUAUCUGUGAGGAAAACAAAGACGAAUACAGACUAAGGAUCAGAUCUCACCAGAGACAAUUGCUUUUUCGCUCAUUAGAUAUUUCCAUGCUAGCAACUACUUGUACAUAGGGGCUACAACUACUUGUACAUAGGGGCUACUUCUCCCAUAUAUGUACAACACAUCAGCUAUUAUGCAAACCAUCUGACUAUGUAGCCACACAAUUGGUUUUAUUUGCAUUUUUCAGCUCCACGUGAGAAAGUUGUGCUGAAAUGGAGAGAGGCAUGACUUUAUCCUCGACAACCUCAUCAGUGUGCAACACAGGAGUUGUGGGCGAGUCAUCCGAUUAUGUUUGACAGAUGACAGAACUUGUUUGCACCAGCUUAUACCAUCUUUUUAGUCCAAAUACGGGGACGCACAUGUGAUAUGCCUCUUCAAGCUGUGCAAAUUGGUGGGAUGUUUAUUACUAACAUGUACUUACUCUUCAAACCCCUGUACAACGCCGUUACAUGUGCUCCAGUGAAGUGCAGUACCCGGCUGGCACAGAACCUAUCAAGUUUUUGACAGUCU